RNAcentral lists this long non-coding RNA (64993 nucleotides) under Gossypium barbadense (sea-island cotton). RNAcentral's name for it is "long non-coding RNA (GBAR_LNC000655)". The record is from RNAcentral. Lineage: Eukaryota; Viridiplantae; Streptophyta; Magnoliopsida; Malvales; Malvaceae.
AUCAACCGCCUAUCUAUAGGCCGCCGUUGCACGAGGCGCCGUCGGGGAGCUCUUCUUUUUACCAAUCUCCAUCGCCUUAUAGGAUUCAAACACCUCCGCAAUCAUUAUUCUAUCAAGGUGGCUCAUUCUCCCAACACCCACAACUAGAUCUCCAGCCGGAUGAACCACAAUCCCUGCCGGAGCAACCAGAACCCUCUCCGGAACCUGAAUCAAGGAGGAAUCCAGCGCGUAACCGUCGACGACACCUAUGUGGCACUGAUUCCGACUGACACCAACAUUGAUUUUUUUAAUAUACUUGUAUAAAAUUUUUUAUAUUCUUUCAUUUAAUAAAAUAAAAGUUGUUUUUAAUAUUUUAAUUAUAAUUUACUCUUUUAUAUUUGUAAUAAAAUAAAAGUUGUUUUUAGUAUUUUAAUUAUAAUUUACUCUUUUAUAUUUGUAAUAGAAUAAAAGUUGUUUUGAAUAAGGAAAUAUUUUUAAUGUUUUCCAUCAUUUUAAUAAAAUGUAAAUAAUGCAACAUAAUUUUAUUAAAACAACUAUUAGCUAUUUCGUUUGGACAUGAUCGAGUUGUAUAGCCUGGGUUCUUACACCAUCCGCACAACUUGUGUUGGUUGGUUGUUUCUCGAAUAUCCAUAUUGUUACGUUUUCUAGUCGAGCAAGGUCGACCCUUUAGUUUACGACACAAAUCUCUAUUCGGUAACAACUUAAACGGAGCAAGCGAUACAGACGGCCAUUUACGUUCAUCAAGGACCGGUGGGAAUACGUGUCUCCACAUGUUGUACAUGUAUUCUAUUUUGUACACUUCGUCGACAUAGCUCAUGGGAUUCAGACGGAGAUUCUAACAAGCUGCAAUUACAUGAGUGCAUGGACAACGAAGUGCGUCAAACCUCCCACAGUCGCAGGUCCUAUUUGUCAAGUGCACACGAUAUUGCCCGCCAACAAUACCUUGGUUCAGUCUGUCAAACUCCGUCACACGAAACCAUAGGUUGUCGCGAUCGUGACACACUGUGUGCAUGGUGUUGGCCUGAGCCUUCGCCUUGUUAAUUUCUUGCAAUACCUUCGCGCACCAUACAUGGCCUCCCUGCAUUUUGCCUUUAUACCUCGCUACUCGCUUCGGAAAUAGUGCUGCUAAACGAAAAUACGUCUCUCUCACAACCGAUGUUAUCGGCAAAUGACGCAUUCCUUUUAGAACAAAAUUUAUGCAUUCAACCAAGUUUGAGGUCAUUUGACCAUAUCGUAAGCCACCAUCGUAUGCUUGUGUCCACUGUUCGAAAGGUAUGUUACAGAGGUAGUCAUGGCCUUAUUUAUUAACUAAACGUAAAUCGCCAACAUAUCAUGAAAACAGUCCUUAUUUAUCUUAUACCCUGCGAAUAUAAGAUGAUAGCAAAAAUUACAUACCACUCUUCCAUUCAAAAUAAAUUGAAUAUUACAAAAGAAAUUAUAUUAGUAAAGAUUAAAUACCUAUGUUGGUCACUUGUCGUUGUUCACUUGUAGAUCGAAAUUGCCCGUAAUAGUUUGACGUAAUGUGCCUUAGGCAAUACCGAUGGUGUGUGCGAUGCCAUAGGCUACCCUGACGCUCAAUUGAGGCUAGUAUUCCGGUGCCCCGAUCCGAUAUAACACAAAUAUCAGGUUGGGGGCAGACAUGCCUCCUUAGCCUAGAAAGAAAGAAUUCUCAGUCAUCAGCUGACUCUUCCGAUGUUAUUGCAAACGUAAUUGGAAGGAUUCUCCCAUUGCCAUCUUGUGCCACAGCUAGCAGUAGUCGAUGGGUAUAUCUACCAUACAUAAAUGUACCGUCAAUUUGUACCAACGCCUUGCAGUAUAGAAAUGCAUCUCGGCAUUGCUUAAAGCUCCAGAACAGACGCUUGAACACUUGGCAUCCACAGAGCAAUCGGUCGUUGUAGUACGUAGGUGCCAUUUCAAGGUCUAUUGUGCAACCUGGACAUAUCUCUCCAGCACCUGACACCACUGCCACACUUCAUUAUAUGAAGCAUCCCACCCACCAUGCAUCUUUUCCAAUGCCUUUUGCUUAGCUAUCCAAGCCUUGCAGUAAGAGGGUGUGUACCUCAAUUGGCUACGAAUAUUGGCAAUUAAGACCAACACUGAAGUCCUGGGAUCUGCCUUCACCGUCGGUAGUAUUAAGUCAGCUAACAUAUCUGAAUCCAUCUUUGGAUUAUCUUGUGAAACACCUGUAAACAAAGUACAUUAAAUAAUGCAACAUUACGUAAUAACAAUAUUAUUCAGAAACCCUAGAAGUUUAGUGAAAUUGUACCGCCAACACAUGUAUGUGGACCUUUGUACUUUUUAAUCUCCCACAAGCAUGUCUUUUUCCUCAACGAGGCCAUAAUUUUCCAUGAACAUGUGUUGUCUUUCACUGCACACUUGGCCUCAAACUUAUCGGUUUUGGAUUUAACCACGUUGUAGUUAACCCUGUCUAUGAUGCUAUGUUGUUUCAAUGCACCUAGAAAACUAUCUUUAUUGGAAAACACCUUACCAACUUCUAGUUCACCCGAAUCCAAUGAUGAACUUGUACGGUCACGCCUUCUGUGUGGUAGAUCUGGAAACUCCAAAGCAACAUCUUGAGAUAGAUCGACAUUAUGCAUGUGGGCUGGAGGCGAGUACGUCAUGAAUUGUGGAUCUUCUUCUUCUUCAUCUGAACUACCUUCAACAUCUUCAGGUAUGGUUGGAGUAGGCUUCGGUUCAGAAAAUAAUGUAACUUCUGCACCAUUGGGCCCGGGCACUCGAGGUGGAUCCACAUCGGACUCAUCAUCCGACCCACCAUCAUCUGUAACGAACGAGGUUCCUUCACCGGUGGACGUCGUUGGGAGUAAAUAGUCCCUUCUUGUGGACGUUCCAUAACGUCCCCAAUCAGAUGUUGAUUGCGAACCACUAGUAGUUGAUGUCGUUCCCCAGUAUGUAUUUUCAGUAUCAAAUGUCGACCCACCGAGGUGUAUGUCCCAUACACUAACAGAGUCUCGGCCAGGGGUUGUAUAUUCCAAAUUUUUACAAAACACGGACACUUUCGUGUUUUGCCACCCACUAGCAGAGUCUCAGGCAGAGGUCGUGUAUUCCUCUUGAACAGUAGUAGAUGUUGAAGUUGCAAAUGCAUCAUUUGGCGAUGCAAAUUGUACAUAUAACUCGAGGUAGGGUGAUCCACUAGCAAGAUGAGUCUCCACCAUUGCCUCCAAGCUACGAGGACCUUUGAUGUCGAAUGAGUCAUAUCUCACGGGAUCAACCAAAGCACAAAAUCGAUACUUAAUAGACAAAACUUUUAUUAGCGUCAUUCCGAAGAUUUUACGCCUAAUUCUUUUUCGAAGUUCUGUCAAAUCUAUGUUCUGGUUAAAAACCAGUCACGCUGUGUUCUCCGAUAAAAAAGCAACACCAUUCUCGGUGUCAUGGACCUCACCAUCAUAGUAAAUAACAGCACUAAUACGUUCAUUCAUCUUCAGUUUUUAUUCUAUUUUAACCUCAGUUUCUCUUGCUGUAACUUAUGCAGCCUGAGAAUGAAAUUUGGCUCAUUUAUAGUCAAAGGCCAAAUAGGAACUACGGUAGAAAAAGAGUGUCCACGUGGGAGCUUUUUUCAGUAAUUUUACUGAAAGUGCAUACUGCAUGAAGCGUUUUUGACACUAUUUGUUCAGAAAGGUCAUCUCACAAUUAUUUUUUCAGAUACCGCUGUAUCAAAAGUGUAACGCCCUCACGCCCAAGACCGUCGCCAAAGUCGAGCUUGAGGUGUUACUAAACUUAAUUCAUUAAUUUAACAGCUCAAACAAUUUAUUUUUAAAAUUUCUAGACAAGUUGGCCAACUGCAUCACAAUCGCUUAAAAAUUCAUAUCUCGAGUUGUGAAACUCGAAAUCCAAUUCUGUAAAUUUUUCCUGAAACUAGACUCAUAUAUCUAUCUACUAAAUUUUUUAUAGAAUUUUUGGUCUGGCCAAUUAGUACAUUUUAUUAGUUAAAGUCUCCCCUGUUUCAAGGUUAAACUACUCUAACCCCUGUGUAUUACGAAUCAGAUAUCUCCUUGUAAAGAGUCUCAAUGACUAUUCCGUUUGUUUCUUAUAAAAAUAGACUCGAUAAGGAUUUAAUACAUGUAAGAUAAAACUCCUAAUUUUUUUUUACAAUUUAUAGUGAAUUUUUAAAUUCAGAACAGGGGAUACAGAUAUCACUCUGACCCUUUUCCACCAACACUUAAAUAUCUCACAAAAUAUAACUCAUAUACCUAUUUUGUUCUAUCGAUAUGAAAAUAGACUCAUCAAGCUUCAAUUUCAUAACUUACUCAUCAUUUAAUUCCAUUUCUACUAUUUUUAGUGAUUUUUCAAAUUUACAUCACUACUGUUGUCAGAUUCUAUUUUAUGGCAAAUUUUACUUUACUACAGAUUUUCAUGGACUAAAUAGCAUUUUAAACAUACAUAACAUCAAAUAUGACUUAGAUUGGCCAUUCCAAUGGCUAAUCAUUUACAAACCCUUUUCUUGCCAAACCAUAGCCAUAUCAUAAGAUCGUUUACACAAAGUGAGUAUUUUGCCAUACAUGCCACAUUCAAAAUACACAAGCCAUUUUACCAAUUUAGGCCUCCGGAUAAUGUGAACGGGUCUUCGACCUAUCCCGAUUCUCAAGCCGGCUUGUCAACAACUACAAUGAAUGAAAAGAAGGGGGUAAGCAUAAAUGCUUAGUAAGUUCACAUACAAAUAGCAAGUAACAUAAUCAUGAAAUUCCACAUAAAACAUCAUUUGCAUAAACAACACCAAGACAUUCAUGUUUCAUUUGCAUUUAAUAUCUUUCUACGAUUUCAUCAUACCAAGUUCUCAACCCGAGGAUUUAAGCACAUACCUGUCAAAUUUUCUCAUUCACUACACUUACCAAUAUGUCACCUUCAUUUUAGGCAUUCUUCUUAUUCACUUAAGAUUCACCCAUUGAACACAUCGGAAUAUAAUUCGAAUACACGGAUUUUAUGAAUGUAAGUGCCAUACUCGCAACUAGACAAACUCUAGCCUGCGGAACUUAUGUAGCCAAGCUACCAUGUAACCCGCCCAUAAGUGAAAUCGGACUCAACUCAACGAGCUCGGGCGUUCUCAUCCAUAAGUGAACUCGGACUCAACUCAACGAGCUCGGAUGCCUAGUUACAUCUCAAGAACUCGGACUCAACUUAACGAGUUCGGAACUCAAAAUAUCCUAGUAACAUGUCACUUGUAUUCUAAUCUAUUCCCAAGGUUCAAACGGGCUUUUUCCUCGAUCACUUUUCCGUCUUCCACAGAAUAUCAAAACCGAUACUCGGUAGCAAUUCAUAUUUAACACGUAGUACCCAUAAUUUGCAUAUUUCUCAAUAAUAACCACAAAGCAUAAUAUUUCAUAAUAACAAUCUUCAUAUCAUAUAAAUAACAUUAAUGAUAAUAAUCAUCAUAUCAUAUAAAUAACAUUAUAUUACUUAAAUUGACAAUCAUGUUACCACAUUUACACAUGAACUUACCUCGAUACGAAAUAUUAGCAAUCGAGCCUAUUCCUCGUAAACUUUGUUUUUCCCUCGAUCACGACUUGAAUCUCGUUUUUCUUGAUCUAUAAUACCAAAUUAAUUUUAUUUAAUAUGUACAUUCAUCAAAACAGCCCUUAAUAUGAACUUUGGCAAAAUUACCAUUUUGCCCCUAAGCUUUCACAUAUUUGCACUUUUUCCCCAAUGCUCGUAAAUUAAACUUCAUCCUAUUUUCUUAUGUUUUAUGACAUGCUGAUCAUUUUUCCCUUCUAUAGAAACAUCAAAUUCACACUCUAACAUGUACUUAUGACUAUUAGGUAUUUUUACCGAUUAAGCCAUUUUACUCGUUUUCACUUAAAACCGAGUGGCACAAGUUGUCUAACAUAAUUUAAAACCUCAUAUUCUAUCAUAAAACACCAAAAUACACAAAUUUCACCUAUGGAUAUUUUUCCAAAUACGAACCCUAGGUUGAAUUAUUGCUAGCAUAAGCUAAAUCGAGCUACCGGGAUUCCAAAAAUGUAAAGAACAUUAAAAAGGGGCAUAGAAAUCACUUACAAUCAAGGCUUAAAAGUGUUGAAACCCUAGCUAUGGUGGACAACAAAAUUCAGCAGCAACUUAUGGAGAAGAUGAUCAUUUUUGUGUUAUUUUUCCCAUUUUAUUUCAUUUAAUAUACAAAUGACCAAAAUACCCUUACUACUAAACUUUCCAAAGAUUCCAUCCAUGUCCAAUUUUUGUCCAUAGACUUAGAAAUUGGUCAAAUUUCUAUUUAAGACCUCCUCACUAAUAUUCCAAAGCAAUUUCAUACUAAAAACUCCUAAAAUGCAAAUUUUGCAAAUUAUUCGAUUUAGUCCCUAAUUUCAAUUUAAGCACUUUAGGCAUAGGAUUUCAUCAUGAAAUUUUCACACAAUCAUGCAAUCAUAUCAUAAACAUCAAAAUAAUUAUAAAAUAAUUAUUUCUAUCUCGGAUUUGUGGUCACGAAACCACUAUUCCGAUUAGGCCCUAAUUCGGGAUAUUACAAAAAGAGCGUCCACGUGGGAGCUUUUUUCAGUACUUUUGCUGACAGUGCAUCCUGCUUAAAGCGUUUUUUACACUAUUUUUUCAGAAACAUCUUCUCAAAAUUAUUUUCUUAGAUACCAUUGUAGAAAAAAAGCGUCCACAUGGGAGCAUUUUUCAGUAAUUUUGCUGACAGUGCAUCCUGCUUGAAGCGUUUUGGAUACUAUUUCUUCAGAAACUUCUUCUUAAAAAAAUUUUUCCAGAUACUACUGAAGAAAAAAAAACCAAAAAAUUAUUUUAAAUACACUAAUACAUAAUUUAUAUUGCAUAUAUUUUUUUCCAAAACCCUAAACACAAAUUUAAUUACUUAACCCUAAACCCAAAUUUAAUUGAUUUUUUAAUUAAUAUUUAAUUUAAUUAAUUAAUCUUACACCCAAAUUUAAUUAAUUAAUCUUACACCCUAAUUUAAUUAACUAAACCCUUACAAAAACCAUAUACCCUAAAAAAUCCUAACCCUGAACCAUAAAAACCCUAAACCAUAAAAACCCUAACCCUAAUCCCAACAGAUGAAAAACAUGGACAAAGCGCGUCCCCAAGGAAGCGCUUUGUCCACAUCAGCACAAAUCGCGUCCUCAGGGAAUCAUUUUCUGCUGAUGUGGACAAAGCCUUCCUCAGGGACGCGCUUUGCUGGCAAAUACCCUGACUUCGCGUUGACGUAGACGCGAUUUCCCCGUUUUCGGCCUAUUCCAAUAAAUAAUUAAGAAAUCGGCCCAUUUCUGUAAAAAAAAUUGAAAAUGGGCCUUUAUUGGUAUUUUACCCUUUUAUAAAUUUAAUUUUUGAUAUUUAUGGAUUUGGUUUGGGUAAAAUUAUAUUUUGGGUUUGGGUUUUAAGUAAUGUGUUGUUUCCAUUUGGGUUUAACUUUAGAGAAUAAAUUUAGACUUAGAUAUAUUUGGAAUUGGAUUCAGAUAUAAAUAUUUUAAUCAAAUCAAAAUUAAAAUCUUUUUAACCAAACCGAUUUAAUUGAAUGGUGAAAUUGAUUUAAUUUGGUCAAUUAAAUUAAUUUUAAUAGUUAACUAUAAUACAUUAUAUACUACUCCAUAAUAUGGUAAUAUAAUUAUUACUAAAACUAUCAAUGCAUAUGUAUAUAUAUUAAUAUAUUAUAGAUUAUACUAAAAAAAUAUAGUAUUACAUAAUAUUAUAAUGUUUACCACAUAUAUAAACUUUUAAUAUAUUAUAUAUUAUAUGAUUUGAUAUAGUAUUACAAAUUAUAAUAAUAAACAAUUCAUAUAUAUAUUAUGUAUUCUUAGUAUAGCAUAUGAAAUAGGAUUAUUACGUAAUAUAAUAAUAUAUUAUAUAUUUAUUAAUACAAUUAUAUAUAUAUAUGACUAUUAAUUAGUUCAAAAUUGACUUAACCAAUCCAAUUUGAUUGAAUUUGUUGAAUUCGGUUGAUUAAAUUGGUUUUAAUCAUUAACUAUAAUAGAUUAUGUACUAUUUAUACAAUUAUAUAUAUAUGACUAUUAAUUAGUUCAGCGUAGAUCCCUGGCCUCUAAAGAUCUUUCCCCAAACCCCAUAAAAAAACAAACCGUUGAAAUGUCUGCGCCAGUCAACUUCCAGUAGAGGAAAUAUAAUCUUACAUAUGAACAAAAAUAAAAGAAAAUUUUAUUAUAAGGUUUCCGAAUAUAAUGUGUCAUGUGGGGUAUGAAGAAAUUAUGUAAAUUGGCUAUACAAAAUAGGUUAAUAUAUACACCACAUAAUUUAGAACACAUUUAGAGAUUUUAUCAAAGAGCAGCAUCGGCAUCCAAUUGCUGUCGGCUCAUGAGCACACCCUCGUUCCAGAUCUCAAUGCACCUGUGAAUAUAUAAGUCGUGUAACAAUGUAAAUAAAGAGUCCCCUAAAAAAUAUCAAGAGAAACCAGGGCAUUAUUCACAGUUUGUGAGAGAAGAAUCCAUACAACACAACCAUUUAUUCUCAUGGUAGGGUAUUCUAGGUUGGCUACCAGAAACCAUGGUAGAAUAUAAAGAAAAUGUGCUAUGAAGAGCAUGCACAUUUCCACACAUGAUAUGCAGAACUCAACUUAUUAGUUUAACCUAGGGUAUGUGAAUUCUAGAGCUGGCAUAAAAGAUAAUAUCACAUGCUUGCAUGCAAGAAGCUUGCUUCAUAAACUAUUGAAGUUGUAACUUUGAGUACAUGUUUAACUGUCUAUUGAUUGGUGUAACACGGAAAACCAGAAUUGAUUAAUGGUCAGAUGUUCAUGCAGUUCUAAGAGACAUGGACACACACCUUGUUCCAUCAACGGUAAUACAGAGGAAGUGGCCAUGCCGCCAACCAUCUUCAAAAUGGCCAAAGAAGACAUCACCAGAUUUUGAAUAGAAGCGACCUUCACCAUUGGCUUUUCCCUUCCAAAAGUUCACAAACCACCGAUCUCCAGUGUGAAAAUAAAACCAACCCUAAUGAACAUGUAAAAUCAAGACAUCAAACUGAUUAGUACGUAUAUUGUCCAUCAAAUGCCAACAGGUAUGUGAUUAGUUUGUAAAAGUGUUGGAUUUUUGGGCUUUGCUUGGUAGCUAUUAGAGCACUGAUGGUCUUAUUGCGCUAUUGAGUAUCCACUUUAACAUGUUAUAUAGUAUCUUUCUAUAUAAUGCUUAAAUGCAUUGAAAGUAUAUUAAUGCCCCCAAAAGCAACCCUUUUUUUUUCCCCUUUCCAGUUCCAGAAUAACAGCUGCUAGCUUUUAAAAUCAUUGCAGCUAUUUUCCAGUUCAUCAGUUUUGCCAUCCAAUGUUAAUGAGAAGUUUCCCUUUACAUCAACAUAGAUAUUCUCUGAGUCUCCCAUCUAUAAGUUCACAUAUAUAUCUAUAAACUAGCUUGCUACCUUAAAUUUCUUUUUCUUUUUCCUGAAUUUGGUACUAAUCUUAAGCAGUAAAAGCAAAUUGAAAAUUAAGUAUUGAGUGCUGUUAUCCAAACUGGUCAAGUCUUGAGUUUCCCAGGCCUCUCCAUCUAUUGUCAGAUUUUAAGAUUGGGCGUUUAACACCUAUCAAGAUUGUAUUCUUGUUGACAGUUAUGAGCUUGCCAAAUGUAUGCCCCUUUGUUUUAGUUGUUUGUAUUGGGCCUACAUGCAAGAGGGGCUGUCGAAGGUGUUAUCCCACAUUGGUAAGCCUUAAGUUUCCUGUGGUCUUAGAUUCAAGUUUAGCCUCUCCAUUUGUUACAAAUUGGGUUUUGAGGUUCAAUGCCUAGCAUAAAGUAUCAAAAUUUGCUGUGAAUUCAAUAAUAAGAACCAGAUAUGGUUGAACGAAUAACAAAUAUAUAUAUAAUAUUAGGUGCAUAAAAGAUUCACACAAAAAAUAUUAGCUUCAUGUUUAAAAAGAAAAGGGGGGAAGGGCCUAACCUUGCCAUGCAUCAGAUCAUCUCUCCAGGAUCCCUGGAAAACAUCCCCAUUACUGAAAUAGAAUGUACCCACACCUGAUCUCUUACCAUAGCGCCACAUACCAUCAUAAAUGCUUCCAUCACCAAGAAUAAGACGACCCUAAAUAGAAUUUACUCAAAUGUCAUCUGAUUUCAUCUCUCAAUGAAAUAGUAUAUAUCCUUGAAAAAAGGAGUUUUGUCAAAUAAAUCAGGGCUACAUUCCAGUACCUUUCCUUCAGGAAGACCUCCUUGGCAUCGUCCUCUGUAUACUCCUCCUCUAUAAUGCAACUCCACAAUAGGACUCCACUUCUUUGGUGAGUCUCGCUCAGCUUCCUGUGCCAUUGUUUAUGACCAAAGUCUUAAUGUAACAAGUAAUUCCAAGGAAAAAAUAAAGUUGAGUUACAUGCCAAAUGAUAAAAUAUUAAGUUUUAAACUCCAAGAGCGAAUAUGAUAUAAUUUUUGAACCAUGCAAUUGAACUCAGUAAAAAGUCAUCAAAUGAACAGAUAGGAAAAAGUGAAUCAACUUUGAAUAAUGACUCUUCAAUAACUUUUUCUACCAAUGACCUUCUUGGCAAUGUUGCAACAUGACAAAUAGUAUUACUUUUAGAAGCAGAAAGUUUGCAAAAUGCAGUUUCAGAUAAACAUUAAUGAUUACUUAAAUUAUUGUAAAAUUUACUACUGUGAUCAUAACUUUAAGCUGACACAAAAUCAAAAUGCUUAUGGUAAGUGAAUAAUAAAUAAAGAGGUUUAUGACUGAAGACACUGUAGUGUACUGAGACAACGAUAAGUAGAAGCAGAAAUUGACAAAGAAUAUUCAUUAUGCCUUAAAACUGAUCUUACAAUACAUGAGAAAGAAUUCCAGAAAAUUAAAAUGCCUUAAAGCUGAACAAAAUAAAAAAUAUUGCACAUUAAAAACCACUUAAAUAAAAUGCAGAUUACCAGCAUAGAAGCUGCACGAGCAGAAAGUACUCCCUGCUUCUUAGGAACACCAGUCUUUCCCUUUAAUAGCGUAGAUCCACUGUUAUAAAAUUCCUUCAUUGCUUCAAAACUUGCAUCAGUGAAUGCACCCAAAGACCUACUUGAACUGGGAAGUGCUGGGGCUUUGACAACAUUUUCAGAUUUUGAUUCAGAAAAUUCCAUGGCAUUCAAUGUAUUAAUACCCUCUUUUGGCUCUUCCGAAGACCUUACCCCGACAGGAAGGCAGAAAAUGCUGAGAUUAUCAAGAACUGGCGUAGCUUCUGAGUCAGCUGCUCUUUCUUUGGCCCACUCCUUUGCAAGCUGAUUCCCAGGCCCCAAAUUCCAGCGGCUCAGUGGUUCCCGAGAGAAAGUAGGAAUACCUGGAUAACUUAGGAAAAGAAAUGAGCUGAUACACUUUUCUAAUAUAAAUAUCUCCAAGUUCUUUAGAGGUUACAUAGACAGUCAUCACUCAUCAAAUUGUUAAUUGUUAAUCCAAUCUAAAAAAGAAAAUUUGCCAUUCCUACCUUCAGUAAUAUCAUCAUAAUAGCUGGAAAAGUCGGUUUUUCCAUCCAGUAAAGCAAUCUCGUUUUGAUCAGAUCCACUGUCAUAAUUUCUACAAUAGGAAAACAUUUAAUAAUUUUAUAAGCAUUUUAUGGCAAGAGAACCUUAAAAGAAAUUAAAGUGCAAAUGAAUAAACAUAACCUCAAAGAAUAGAUAUCACUGGAUUUGUCGUUCAGUGCAUCCUGAAUUUCACCAUGGCGAUCAUCAAAGCCUCCAGAUAUGCCUUCUAAAGCUACUUCUUUUCCCAUUUCAUCAGAAUCAGUCCAAUUCAUCACCUUGACAUCAUUUGUAUCAUUUGACUGCAAAGGAUGUCUCCUCAAUAGAUUAAAAACAAACGGGAAAUGCUGUGCCAGUCUAGUGAAGAUGCCGCUUUUCUUUAAAGCUUGUUCUUCAAGAUGACUACAAUUACAAAAAUUUAGAUGAGACUAAGAACAGGAAACAACCAACAAAACUUGGAUUCAUAAUCUAUAUACGAGUAACUGGGAGCAGGCAAAGGAGGUUGCAACAAACAGACAAAAUGGGAACCAUGAAAACUAAAAUAUAUUCUACACGGCGUGUAAAAUAUGUCAUCAUCAAGAUAAAACUACAUCAGGCUUGUGCUUAUCUAGCUACCAUGAGCUCAUGCUACAGAGAAGCCUAAGGAAGUCAGUAAAUUACAUAUGGAACUUCAAUCAAAUAUCCACCACCUAACCAUCAAGCAACAGAAGCUAUCAUAACUAUUUAUCUAUCCAUGCAGUUGUCAAGACAGCAAAGUGAGAAAGCUGCUUGGUAAGAUUUAAAUGGAACUCAUUGUCAUGCCUAUUUUUCUUGUAAGUUUCCAUCUAGCAUUAAGACCUGCAAUUUAUAGGCUUGCUUUGCAGAACAUUUCCAUGAUUUUGGAAAGGAUGCUUUUACUUAGGCAUAUAUUCCUAAAACAAUUUCAUGAUCCUCGCCAUGUUUCUCUUCUCUUUUUAUAAAAAUGAAAUUUAUCUUCUAGACUUCAACUAUAGUAAACUUGGGCAUAGUUUGAGCUUUCGCUGUAAUCCUUCUGGCUUUUUAAUUGAUAAGCAACUAGACGUAGUCAGUAAACUCAACAGAUUGUUUGAAUCAAUUUGACCCGAUCAACCAACAUGAAGAACCUGAGGAGCUAGUUAAACAAAAUAAUGUCUCAACUCACAAGACUUAACCACACAAUGAAUAAUUGUUUUAAAAACCAAAUUUGCAGUUGCAGUUCUGUCCAGGUGCAUAAUUUUAUGUUUGCACAGAGAAUGCCCAGGAUAUAGUUCUGAUAGAUAUGUCAACAAGAAAGUUACUAUCUCCAAUCAAUCAAAAGAAAAUUGAAAGGGGAAAUUUUCAUUGAUCAAGAACAUAGCUAAAACUGCUAACCACUGUUAGGAACUCUAACUACUCUUUGUGGUUUAGUCAUUUAGAAACUUCUGAAUACAAGUAAUAAACAAUGAAAAAACAAAUAGUUUCUGCAAACACACAGUUUACACAAAUAAUUAACAGAAGAAUGAUUCUUUGCAAUGUAAUGGCCUAUAAGGAGUUUUCAACUUUUAGGUGCCAAGACCUCCAACCACAGUAGCGAGGGGAAAAGCCAGAAAACAAAUUUGAUAAACCCUAAAAUAAACAGCUGACAAAUGCUUACACAUCAGAAUUGCAGGAAAAAUGGAAAGGGAUACCAAGUUGACAAUUGUAUUAACUAAGAUAAAAUUAAUAAUAUACUGGCAGCCAUCCUAAAAGUUAGAAGUCUUACCCCAAGAUAACAACUGUUGUGACUAGAAGGUUGGGCUCGAGCUUAGGUUCAUGAACCACAGAUAUAAUGAUAUCUUUAGUGUACUCUGUAGUUUGACGGAAUGUAUGCAAAAAGGCUUGCACAUCAUUGUUGUUGAUAACAUUAGAACUUGCAACAAUGCAUAUAACCAUGCCAUCGAGGUCCUAUGUUCAAAAACGAAAUGGUCAAAGCUUUAAUAUAACAGAUGCAAUGGAGAAAAAGGGUAGGUUGUUCAUACAAAGAAAAUAGGAAAAACAAUUAUAUUUGACCAGAUGAGGAAAGGGUGAAGGAGCACUUAAACAACAUAAAAUACAAAAGUCAUGCAUGCACAUAUAUCUCAACAGUUCAAAUGAAACUCAUGUUAGAUACGUAUUAAGAUUUCCUUAAUCAUACCUUUACCCCUGCACCAAUAAAAGGGCAGUCAUACAUAGCUUGCGAAAUUGAAGUUCUGAUGUUGUAACCAGCUCCAAAUCCAAGUUUUGCUUCUUUGUACUUUCCAAGAAUCUGAGCAAGUUUGCAUAUUUCUUAGAAAGGUUAAGGAAAAACAAAGAAGGCAUAAGCAAUGCAAUCUUAUAAUUUUGGAACUAGAAAGUAUGUAUUUCUAAGUUCCUCAUCAGUGAAACAAGGUAAAGAGAAAGGUGUCAGUAGCAGAUGCAAAAACAAAAGAAAAAACAAAUAAAAGAAACAACAUAGUUUAAGAACAAAAUAUAAAAGUCCGUGUAAUAAUAAAGUUAUAUAGGUAAUUAACUAGCAAAAAAUGCAACGUUAGGUCAACUUACAUUUAUAACUUCUGAAACUCCUAGUUCUUUCAUAUUAUCAUGAACUGCAUCAAUAAGUUUUAUUUGCAUCUCCUGGAGAAUUCCCAGAUUUCACCAAUGAUAUAAUCAUAGCAUAUAUUUAAGAGUAAACCAAAUAAGGAAAAAGAAAUGCUUACACUUAUGACAACUGAUAUAGCAUUUAUGGCAAGGAAAACAGCAUUAUUGGCAGUUUUCAAAGCCUCGUCUAGAGUCACCAAUUCGUUUUUUAGCAAGGAGUCAGUGUCAAUCUCUGCAAAUUAGAAGAUACUACUUAAUGUACUGUAAGGCUAACAAGUCUAGAACCCCACCCCCUCAACCCCCCCCCCUCCCCAAAAUAAAAAAGAAGAGAUAAAAGGAAAAACUGUGAAAACUAUUGACAUGAUGGAAGGACUGUUUGUAUUAAAAGUGACUUAUUAUUCAAUUUAGAGACAAGUACUUUCAAGUAACUUACCUAGCUUCUAUCGUAAUCACUAAAGAAUUAGUUUGUUAAGUCAAUCAAAGUGGAACCUAAAAAAAAGCCUAGCUUCACAAGUACCUUCAAAGCAGUUCAAAUAAAACCAUGAGACACAGCAAACCUCCUGGUGCCCAGCUAAGAGCUAUUUUGCAGAAAAGGUGCUUAGUUCAAGCACCUUCUUGAUAAUGGCAGGUAAUAACAUCAGGAUAACCUUGGGAGGUCUAACCUAGUUGUGACACAAUAAAUUCUCCUAUAUGUCCAUAAAGGAGGCUUGGGAGUUCAUAAAUAUAUUAGAUUAUUAAGUAAUUCUUUUAAAGAAAUAGUAAAUAUUCAACUAACAAAAUCUUUCCACCAUACUUACCAAUACAAAAAUUUGUAAGCUCUUGAAGUUUUCCCGCCAAAUCCUUGACCUGCAUAUUAAGUUAUGAUAUGUCGUGAAAAUGUAACAUGAUAAUUAUCUGCUUGAAUUAUUUUCAUAGUUACCCAUACAAACCAAUAACUUCAAUUUUCAAACUUCCCCCUAUUGGUACUCCAUAAGGAACUCCACAUAAGUUUAUGCCUAGUUGCUAUCAUUAGACCUCCAAACACUUAGAAUUUUAACUUGAGUGAGAUUCCUGCAACAAAACCCAGACUCUGGGUAUUUCCUUUCAGCUCUUAAGCAUAUUCAACUCUAGUUUUUGAGCUUCAGCCCAAAAAGGUUUCAGACUAAGGAGGUCAUCUCCAAUCAGUCCUUCUCUAUCAGUUUAUCAGCCUUUUAUCAUACACUAUAUGAACUCUCCACUACUUUUGGGUUGCAUGGUAUAUGCUCCAUUACAUUUUUGUAAAAGGUCUAAUUCUGAAUUUGAUCCCUCUACUUUAUGGAGACUAAGAAGUUAGUCCCUCUAAUUUGUCAAAAUUUGAUCCUCAUACUUUAUGAAAAUUGAAAAGUUAAUCCAACUGUUGGUAAACGCAUGAACUUGAACUACUGAUUUUAGUUAAUUUGUUGCACAUAAAUUGUUGAAUUGUUGGUUUUUGCUAAUUUAAUUGUUGAAAUGCUGAUUUCCAAGUCAGUAGUUUAACGAAAAAGCUUAACAGUGACACCAAAUUGGACUAACUUCUCAGUUUUAGUAAAAUGGGGCAUAACUUCUGACAAAUUAGAAUAGAUGGCCUAACUUCUCAAUUUUUGAAAAGUAGAGAGAUGAAAUUCAUAAUUAGACCUUUGUAAAACUUAAAAUUUCAUGCUAUGAUUCAUGCAUCUAAUACCCCGAAAACAAUAUGGAACUCCACCUAUAAAAUAAUAUCACUUAGCAAAUGGUUAUAUUCAACGUAUUCGGAAGUUAAUUGAUUUUUCAACUAUGCUAAGUUUGGAGUCCAAAACAUAUGCAUCAAAAUGCUAUGGUUUAAUCCUGUUUAUUCUCAAUAGACCACGAGCCAGACAGACAGACAGAUAGACAUGUAAAAAUCUUGUUCAAAAUUCAACCUUCUAGCAUAAAAUUCCUUUCUUGAAACUAUGGACAGGUAUGCCAAAGAUUUAUAUACAAUAUAGUUUUUAACUGUUAUAUGAUAUGUUCUUUAUGGAAAAGAAGGAAAUCACGUCACAACUUAGAAGCAUUGCUGACCUCAUCAAAUCGUCUUUGCCCCUCAAAGGUGAAAGGCUUUAAAAUUAUAGCAACAGAAAAUCCAUUGGAAGAUCUUAUUGUUUUAAGAAUUUCCAUUACUGCAAUGUGAUCCAAGCCAUACCCAGCACCAGCCACCUGGUUGAUAGAAGAAAAAAGAGAAGCAGAAGGAAUGGGUCAAGCACAUUACAACCAAGAAUUAACUGGGUCAACAAGGAAGUUCGCUAUGAAAUAGAACAAUCUCUUGAUUUUAUAUACAUCAGCAUUAGCAAUUUCCAAUAUUUGAAAGCUUUUAAAUAAGCACCAAAUAUAUAGGGGACGCAAAUGAACCAUGGCAAGUAAAUUGCGGAUGUUCAAGAGUUUAUGGAGUCUAAUACACAAAUGAGAAAACUUACUACGAGUAAAUAUUCUACUUAUAAAUGAACCAAUAUUGCUAUAUGACUAUUCUGAUUGUAUCUAGUAUACUAAUCUUUUAGACUUUCUUUUCAAGUCGUCUACAGUAGCAGGGUUAUUUUAUCAUCAUUGCAAACUGUUUCUGCGCAAUAUUUCAUUUGACGAUGAAAAAUAAUCAGUAUUGAUCACUUAUAUUUUCUUUUAAGAAAAUAAUAAAAUAGAUGCAAGAAUCCAAGGUGAGGAAUGUACAAACAAGGAUAAUAGUCUUUGGACAUGACUGCAUGAAAAUAGCAGCUUCCACAAUCCUUGGUGUAAGAUCUGGAAUGGAAAACAAAAUGAAUAUAAAAAAUCAGCUUAAGUAUUUGCAAAAAUGUGAACAAAAUCAACAAAAAACCUUGAUGAAAUUACUUGAUCUUAACGUAGAGAAGUUCUUCCAGUUACAACUCACAAUUAAUUAUCAUGAAUGUAAAUCUAAAAUCUUAACCUAAAUCGCUAAAAAUCAUCCAUCCACCUCACCUUUCAACAACCACCUUAUAUAACCAGUCACAAUUUCUCUUUUAUCCAUGUAGAAAGAAAAUAAAGAAUGAGAAACGCUAUCUAGUAGCUUCUACCUAAACUUUCUAAGUUUUAAAGCAACAAGCAAACUUGCUAACACCAAAAUAAGUUUCAAACAUUAUGGUAUACUAUCAAUCCUAGCUUUCAUAAAUGGACCUGCCAAAAUAUUAUGCAAAGUCAAUUAGUUAAAUAUCUUCAAUUUAAAAAAAAAGGCUAAAAAAUUGCAUAUGAAUUUUACAUACCAAAAACAGUGAGCUAAUAUAAUGAUUAUUGCUUUUAUUUACCGUUUGGAAUUUAGGUUCUCCAGACUUAUAGUGAUUGAGAAAGUUAUUAAAACUUUUUAAUCAUAAUUCACAUCAGCUGUUACUUUCAUGCCUAUUUCACAUUCAUAGUAAUCAUUUACAAGGAAAAGAAACCAGGCACCAAAAUUAUCAAGCUAUACCCAACUUCAGUCAACCACAAAAUAAUAGAUAUAUAAAUAACCAACAAAAUUUUGGCUUCUUCAUAUACAACAAACCGAAACAUUUCACCAUUAUUACACAAAUUACCUUCAUUCCAAUCAUAAAGGAUUUAAAUUAAAUUUGUAAGUAAAAGCAAGAAUCUUCACAGAAACAGUCUACCAUAAGACAUGAUUUUCGAGGUAAGAUAACUAUGAUGGAAUCUUACAGUCUAGAUAUAAUUUCAAAUUUGGAUUUAAUAUUUGGUUGAUGCAGCAUGAUAUACUAAUUAAAGAGUUAAAGAUAGGACAAAACCUUUUCCUAGGAACCUUUGUUGUAACUGCACAUUUGAUGAGUCCUUCAUGAGAACAUUCCUGGAAAGAAAAAGAAAGAUACAAGAGAGAAUCUCAAAUAUAUUAUCAUUGAAAAAGAUGUGAUGCCAAAAGCUAGAAACCAAUACUAGAUCUUGAACCAAAGCUUUUGCUAUAACAUUAUGACAAGAUUGCUUGAAAGUAGUGAAUUUGAAGAGAAUAUAUCCAUUCAUAACAACAACCUGUCAGAAUUUAUAAAGCAACAAGAUUAGAGAAAUCUGAAGCAAUUUUAGCACUUCACAGCACGGGAAAAUGUUUUGAGCUUAUAUCUCAAACCAAUGCAGGCAUCUUACACUAAUUAAACAAAUAUUCAGUACCAAAGAUUUGCCCCAAGAUAAGAGUCAUUAUUGCAAUCCAGAUUUUUGAAGGUUUUCUUAAUAAUGUUAAGACACAACCAUAGGAAAAUCGUCUCAACUAGCCUAUACCACAAAUAAAGUAUGAUAACCUCAGUAGAAAAAGGCAGCCUGGUAGUUGAUUUGUGUUGCUAUAUGCAAUCUUAACCAAAGGCAGCAAAUAAUAUGCUCAUGUAUAGAAAAACAGCAGUUUAACAAGAUUAACAUGACAACACGAUACUUCCUGUUGGCUUCAUUUCCAUUAUACCGUCAACCAUUUACCAAAAGCAUGCCUAAUUCAAAUUAAAAACUUUAAAAACAAAAAAGAAAAAAAGAACUUAAAAUCAAAUUAAAGGGAAAUUACCAAAAUCUCAAAGAAGACGACUGGAAAGGCGAGUCCAAGCAAAAUUCAAGUAGAGCAUCUUUCCUACUACCAAUGGCAAUCACUUCGAGCACCCCACUGUUCCCCUCCAUGUUUUGGCCGUACCCAUUUAAAGAGCUAGACUGUUUCUCCAUACUCAUCGAAAUUUUAACAACAGACCUCGGGUUAUAACACAAUCUUUUACAACACAAACUUUUGGGACCCAAGAAUGAAUUGAAGAAAACAGGCUUUAAAGAGAAACGGGUCAAUAGGGAAAUGCGAGAAAAUACAUGAGAACCAGUGAGAACUGGAAACUCGAUUGAAGAAGCAGGCAUUUUAAUUUUUUUUGGUUGCAAAAUUUUGUCAGCGGGGUAUGCUUUUGCAGAGUGAUUUAAAGAAAUAUUUUUUGUACGAACUGAUUUCAAGUCGGAAUUCCGGAUAAUAAUGUAAUGCAAAUGGCAAAUAUAAAUAAAACAAGUAAAAUUUUCAGGGAUGCAAUUAAAGCCCAACUAGUUUUCUUUUCCUUAAUUUAAGGCCCAAUUAUGAAGGCAAAUAAAAUUAAGUUUUUAUUAUUGCACCAUAAUGCGGAAUCUACCUAUCAACUUAUUUUUAUUUUUAUUUUUUAGUUAAAUUUAUCAAAAACUGUCCUCAACUUUUCAGGAGUUUAAUUAUUUUUUUAACGAAAAUAUUGAUAAAAAUAUUAAAUUUUAAAAUAUGAUAACUCAUUUAUUCUUUAUUCUAAUUUUUUAUUUUUAUAUUUUUAUAUAACUCAUUUAUUCUUUAUUCUAAUUUUUUAUUUUUAUAUUUUUAUAAUUUUUAAAUUAUUUGAAAAAUAAUGUUAUAUUAGCAUAAAAUACACGUGGACCAUUAUGCUAGUUGUCAUGCCAACAUUAUUAAAAAAUUGAUAUUUUAGUCAGCAUUUUCUUUAAAAAACGAUUUAAUUCUUUUUUAAAGGCUAAUGACCAAAUUUAGGCCUUUUUACCCUAAUAUUACAUUUUAUUAUAUUAAAUUCGAAAAUGGGCAAGAUGGGGAUUAUUUAUGAGAAUGGUAUGAAUUGGUUGGUAGAGGGUGGUGAAUAAGCGGCACCACCCUCAAAUUCUGACAGCCAUUUAAAAAAAUUAUAUUUUAAUAGGUCAUGGCUUGUUGAUAGGGAUGAGCAAAAUCUGAUUCGGUUCAAAAAAACUUGAUAAAAUUUUUAAAUUUUGAAUUAAAUAGUUCGAGUUUUUUGAGUUGAUCAAGUUAUUUGGAUCAACUCGAAUAAAAAAUUAAAUUUUUCGAUUUAACUCAAAUAUGAAUUACACAAUUCGAGUUAUCCGAAAAUCCAAAUAAGAAAAGGCAAAAUUACGCCAUUUAGAUAAAUGUUUACAUUUUCUAAAGUUAAAAGCUAAAAGGUAAAACUACAUUGUUUUGAUAAAUAUUUACUCAUUAAGUUAAAAAGUAAAAACCAUUAUAUUGUUUAUGUAGUUAAAUAAUUUUAUACUUCGUUUACUAGUUAAAUAAUCGGUUCAUGUAAAAGCAACAUUGAGUAUAAAUAAUAAGAUUCACUAACUCGACUCGACUUGACUCAAAAUUUUUUGACUCGAUUCAAUCCGAUUCGAAAAAAAUUCAAAUUGAGUUCGGUUGCUAAAAUAGGAUUCGUCAACUCGACUAACUCAAAAUUUUUUUUACUCGAUUCAACUGGACUCGAUCGAAUACUCACCCUUACUUGUUGAUAGGCGACACCAAAGAAAUACGGGUCGAAUACGACCCAUAUACGACCUAAACCCAACCUAACCCCGUGGCAACUGAAGGUGAAGGGCACUUGACAGGCAGCACCAAGCUAGUGAAGCCCACCUAACAGGCGGCACCAGUCUCUUCUGCAGUGAUGGGACGCUGCACUGCACUGCAGCGAUAAGACGGAACCAUCACUGAUCCCGUGACUUAUGUUCUAGGGACCUUAUAAUGGUCCACAGUCCCAUUUUGUGAUCUGAAAGAAAAAAAAUAGUUUAGAAGAAGAGAACGAGAAGGGGAAAGGAAGGAAGGGAAAAAAGAAAGAAAAAAAGAUAAGUAGAAUAGUUAAGAGAGCAAAAGGAGAAGGAAAAAAAUAUAAGGGGGAAGGAGAAAGAGAUUCAAUUUGGGGUUGUGUUUAGAGUUAAAAAAAGAAAAGGGGGUUGUAUUCAGGGGUUAUAAGGGUUUAGUGUUUAAAAAAAAUCAUAAAAGGUAUUUUUUUUAAUUUAGUGGUUUUUUUGUUAUAAAUGUUAAAUUUUUUUGUUUUUUUAUCUAUUACGGAUUUUAAUUUUUUUAUUUUAUUUUUGUAAGAUAUUAUUUCGGUAAAAAAGAAAAAACUUUAUAGGUUUUAUUUUGGUAAGGUAUGUUUUUAUUAUAUUUUCAUUCUUAAGUUUUUUUUUAUUAUAUUUAAAUAACAACAUUCGUAUUUAUGGAGAAUCCUCUAUGUUUUUUUUUAUGUAAUUUAUUUAUCAUGUGUGUUUUAGAUUUGUUUGGGUUUUCGUUUGGGUUUGUUUGAUGUUUUUGAACUUAUGUCUGUCUUUAAGUUUUUUGUUUUGGACUAAUGAUAAGCAAAAGCCCAAUCUGUUUAUUUCAAUAAUAAUAAUAACAACAUUCGUAUUUAUUAGGUUUACUAUGUUGAGAUAGUUUAUGUUAUGUUUCUGUUAUAAUUUUUUAUUGGCAUUUUUUUAAAAUUUAAUAUUAGAUGCACAUAACAAUAUAUAGUCUAAUUAAGUUUAUUUUGUUUUGAUAAAUUUUAUUAUUUUAACAUAAAUUUUUUGUUUUUUAUGUAGGUAAAAGAUGAGAUCAUUAAGUUGGAAUUUAUGAGAUAUUUUUAUUUUGUUAAUUAUAUAUUGUAAUAGUAUAGCAAAAAAUAUGAUGUGGAAAAAACUGUUUAGCAUUUUAGUAAUGAAAUUUUUGUACUGUAUUUAUUGUAUCACAUUUAGGUAUUUUGAUAAAUAUUUAAAAUGGAACAAACUUAGAAAUUAAUUAUCGAAAUUUGUUUUAAAAUUGCAAAUAUCAAAAUAGGUUCUUUGAUUAAUAACGAUGAUCACAUAUCAAACACAAUUAAUAAGAUGGUAAUAAAUUGUUAUUUCUUAUUCAUGGGUUCCCUUAUAAAAAGUUUCAUGUAAUUUACAAAAUUAAAUUAUGUUAUAAUAACAAUUUUCUGUAUUUUAAUACUGUUAGGGCCCGUACUGCGCAUUGAGGGGUCGUGUGAAUGGUUUAGGAUAUCCCCCGAAUGAACGACUGAUGCCAUACUUGGAGUUAGCAGGAUUUGGUCAACAGCAUUGAUCCAGACGUUUGAUUUGCGGUAGGACUAAAUAUUCGCUUUGGUCGAGCGUUGGCGCCCGAAGACCCACACUUUUCAUUUGUCGUGUGGGGAGUGCACUAUCACUCUGGAGGAUGUUGCAGUGCAACUUGGGCUCCCAAUCGACGGGAGUACGGUAAUGGGUAUAAGUACAAUCUCUGAGCCGACUACUCUUUGUGAUAACCUACUAGGAGUCUCACCCGAUGAUGCUGAGUCGAAAUCUACGGGUUUGAGAUUUUCAUGGCUGGAAGCUAAUUUUGAGCAUUUAUCAAUUAAUGCCACUAAGCGGGAUGUGAUAUGUGUUGCUUAAACCUACAUUAUGCACAUUAUAGAGGGUGUACUCAUGUCAGAUGCAAACAACAACAAGGUUAAUUUAAUGUCUGCUCAUAUAAUUGGGGUUUCACAGUACUAGCUAUGUUGUAUCGCGAGCUUUCUUGGACAACAAAGCCUUCUGCCAUGGAUAUAGGUGGAUGCCUCAUAUUGUUGCAGUCUUGGGCUCUUUACCAGAUGUCAUUCUUGGCAUCGGUUAGUCACCAAGCAUAUGUAUUUCCACUAGUGAAUAGGUAACAAAAUUUUACCAGUUAUAGCAAUUAUUUGACAUUUUUUUCUAGUGAUACUAAUCUAACAAGAUAUUUGUUUUCAUAGAUGGAGUACCAAUCCGAGUAUUGGGAGGUCAUACACUAUUCCGAUAUAUCAUUUGAUGAUUGAGCAACAUGCUAGGGAAGGGGUAAGCUAUUCCAAUAUUUGUGACAUGUAAUUACUUUGUAUAUUUUACUCAUACCGUGUUAGAAUCUAACAAUGUUAUUAAUUGUGUAGUUCAUCUAAAUGCCCUAUCAAAUAUCAAAAAUUACAGUUGUUAUUCCCUCGUCUGCCCAUAUUCACUCACACAUAUUGUGUAUUAACGCACCCAUUACCAAUUUCUAACGGGGAUCAAGUACUCCAACAGUUUGGUUGCAUAUAGUAUAUCACAAUUUUGCCAAUGCAAUUAGGGAAAAUCCACAGGAUUAACAAGUGGGGAAAACAUGAAAAUAAUUAGAGGUUGUGCAUAAAUAAUAUAUUGCAGUGUGGGACAACCAUACUACAUCCUUGACAUCUUCGACAAACACGUGUCCCGCCUCCAUCUAGUUGACUUGUUGUUGCCCCAUUCUUGGUAUCAAGAUAGUCAACCUGUAGAACGUAGUCGAUAACACAAAUGAAAUCGAAAGAUGUCGUGUUUUUAUCAACACGAAGUUAACCCCUUUCGUCAAGUUGGUGGUCAUAUAAUCAUAGCGAAAGCCCUCGUCGAAAUUUUGAGCCCAUUGCCACAGCUCCAUAGUACCCAACCACUAUAGGAAAAGUGUGUUUGUUUCACCCUCCAUGUCACUCUCAAGUCGAGUUAUCCUUUGCCGAAAAAUGUAUAGCUCUAGCUCGUACGCUGUGUAUGUAUUAAGAAAGGUUGUGUUACAGUAUCGCCCUAAAAAAUUUAAAAUGUACAUUGAAAAGAUAAGGUCAUCUUUUACCCAUUCUCACAACUUGUCUCUGCCAGUCUGUAUUCUUAUAAUCUCAGUGAAAGUUAGUCGUGAUGUGUCUCCAUGGUACACCGGAAUGCCUAAUGGCAGCAAUUAAUCAUUUUCCUCUAUUAGAGAUUAUGCAAAUAUUAUCGUUACUAAUAACAUACCUCCGCAAGUUCAUAAGGAAGAAUUCUCAUUAUUCCAUGUUCUCUUAAUCCACAAUGGCAAACGUUAUCGGGAGCACAUUUUUGUUCCCGUCUUGAGCAACCACAAGAAGCAUGAUCUGCGUAUAUUUACCGUAUAGUCAAGUCUCAUCUACUUACACAAACAGUUUGCAGUGGGGAUGUAACACCCCGAACCCGAGACCGACACCGGAGUCGAACACGAGGUGUUAACAGACUAUAAACCCCUUAUAAAGAUAUUUUCCAGACACUGCCUAAUCUGCGUACUUGUCGCUUUAAAAAUCAUAUCUUGAGUUUCACAACUCGAAAAUCAGUUUCGUGAUUUUUCCCUGAAACUAGACUCAUGUUCCCAUCUACAUGUUUUUUUCUAGAAUUUUUGGUUGGGCCAAUUAGUACAGUUUAUUAGUCAAAUUCUCCCAAGUUACUGGGGUCGACUACACUGACCUUUGCGCGUUACGACCUGGAUAUCUCCCUGUACAGAACUUCAAUACUGAUGUCGUUUGUUUCUAUAGAAACUAGACUCAGAGAGGAAUCUAUACAUAUAUGGUACGAUCCUAAUUAUCUCUGGUUAAUUUAUAAUGAAUUUCCAAAGUCGGAGCAGGGAAUCCAGAAACUGUUCUGGCCCUGUCCCACGAGAACCUGAUUUUCUCUUAACAUACUGUCCAUAUGAUCUUUUCGUUACUCUAUAUGAAAAUAGACUCAUCGAGCUUCGAUUACAUAAUUUAUUCAUCAAUCAAUUCCAUUCCUACUAUUUUUAGUGAUUUUUCAAUCUCAUGUCACUGAUGCUGCCAGCAUCUGUUACGAAGGCAACCAUGCCCACUUCAUGUUUACUCCUUGAUCCAACUAAUAAUUCCUCAUGCAUAUCACAAAUUAUGAUCAUGACUAACCAUGCCAAGGCUAAUCAUUGUCAACUUCUCCCUACUACAUUAUUGUCAUAUCAUAAAUUUUAACACCAAAACAAUUAACCAUGACAUAUGGCAUAAAAAGGUCGAAUCAUCAAAAUUUACGACCUAACGUUAUGAAACCAAACCCAACCGAACAUUUAUGCCAUUUUCGCAUGGCUAAAAGUUUACAUACCAAAGUUCAAACACAACAUAAUAGCCUAUACAUGCCGAAAUGUUCACCUAAGCCGACUAAGAAGAAAGUACCAAAACUUGCUAUCCGGUGUGAUGACUUCGAUGACGGCCCGACCACGCAAAAAGAGAUGUGUCCAAGAAACCUAGAAUAGGUGACAAGGAAACACCGAGUGAGUUGAUAACUCAGUAAGUCAUAAGCUAUGCACUACCAUCCAUCAAUAACAUUAUCACAAGAGAAAACAAAAUGGAACGAGGCUAAUUACUCCAUCCAUUCCGAACCAUACUCUAGUUCCUCCAACCUAUCGGUUCAAUUUCAUACCCAUUUAUGCAUUCACAAUCCACAUACUCAUCAAUAGGAUAUUCGAGGCAUUUUCAUAAAUCAUUUUAUUUCGUUACAAACAUACAACUAAACGGCCUUUCACCCAUUUUACGAUAAAUUUUAUGUACGUGACUUCAAGUAUAUUUGUCACAUAGGUUCAAACUUACCAAGCUCAACACCAAGUAUAGACAUAGCACCUAUUAGCCAUGAACUCAAGACACUUACCCGAUCCGCUGUCCAUGAUCGACUCAAUAGUGUCGCACACAUAGUGUCCAUAAUGAUUCAAGGAUGUAUAUUAAGUCCGCACACUCAGUGUUAUAUAGUCAACUCGCACACUUAGUGCUACAUAAUCAAACUCGCACACUUAGUGCUACAUAGUCAAUUCGCACACUUAGUGCAACAUAGUCAAUUCGCACACUUAGUGUUACAUAGUCCAACUCGCACACUUAGUGCUGUACAAUUUAAAUCCGCACACUUAGCGCCAAUCUCAUGGUCAUAAAUGGUUAUACCCGCACAUUUAGUGCCGAGAUUAACAACUCAACACAUCUCACCUCUUUUCUUUUCGUUCAACAAUUUCAUCAUCACAUACAUACAUGUAUAUAUAUAUAUUUAUUCAUUCCAUUCAGCAUCAUUACAUAGAUGUUAUAACCAUUUGAAUUAAUACCAAAUAUAUGCUUAAUGACUUACCUUAAGUCGGAUGGAAUGCUUCCCAAUCGACUACUCAAUAUUCUUGGCUUUGCCUUUGCUUGUUUCCCCUCCUUUGGAUUCUUGAGCUAGAAUAAAUAAGUUAAUAGUUUAAUUUAUCUUGCAAGAUAUUCAUAAAUAUGUAAAUUUAAUGAUUCCACUUCUUCUUGCAACCCUCCUUGUUCCAAAUAUCAAAAUUUCAACUAAUGUUUAGAUUACAUCUCAAAGCCGAAUGCAUUAUCAUUAUCAAAAUAACAUUUGGUCAUCAUUUUGUCAUUCAACACAUUUUUUUUUCACUUCAUAAACAUUUUGACCGUAUACUUCUAAACUAGCAAAAGCUCCCCAUUUAUUCGUACUAUCUUUUAAAUACUAUCAAGUUCAUAUACUUCUAAUUUCUUGAGUUCAACAUCUUAAUGCCCAUUAUAGCCACUCCCAUAAUCUAAAUUUAAAAAAUCGGCAACACCCACAUUUUAACUAUCUUAGCCGAAUACUCCUCAACACUUAGACUAAAGUAUGCACAUUAAACUUAAUACAACUUUCAUUAUACCUUUCACCCUAAAACAUAAUUUAUAAAUCUUGCCCUUCCUUCCAUGUUUCGGUCAAUUAUUCAAAUUACCUCAUAGCAUGAACAUUUUUUUUUCAACUAAUCUAGCAUGACUCAUUCGGCCUUAACAAUGAACCACUUUUCAUACAAGGACAAAAAUAAAUCAAAUGAACCUUCCAUUUAAACCCCAUUAUAUCUUCUACUCAUUCAAUAAUACAUGUAAACAACUACUAAUUCUAGUACUUUGAUACACGGUUUAGUGCCCAACCAUCAUAAAAGUUUGAAUUUUUCUUAAUAUUGUCAAAAUACAUUCACAAAUUAACUUAAACAUAUAAGAAGAUUUAACUAACACUUCAAAACUUACCUCCUACUAGCAAGAAGUAGUGCCGAAUUACCUAAAUGAGAAUUUUCCUUUUUCUCUUCUUUGGUUUCGGUUUUGGCAAGGUGGAGAAGAAUAUGAACACUCCUCUUCCCUUUUUCUCUUUCAUUCCAUUUUAUUAUAAUUAUUUUAAGUCAUUUGUUAACUAAACAAAACAUAAUAAAUUAGAAUAAGUGGAGCACCAUCACUCCUUGGCCGGCCACCCAUCAUCUUUUGGGCAAUUUGACAUGCAAAACCACUCUUUUUGGUACAUGCACUAAUAGACCAUUUUAAAUUAGACUAUCAUAUUUUUACCAUGUCUCAAAUCGAUCCCAAUUAAUAAUUUCUCAUGCAAUUGGUAAAAUUAGGGAGUGAAACUUCCACAUACUCAUGUUCACACAUAAUAAGCAUAGAAUAUAGCAAGUAAUUAUUUUUACGACUCGGUCUUGUGGUCCCGAAACCACUUCCCGACUAGGGUCAAUUUUGGGCUGUCACAGGGGAAAUAUACGUACGCAUAGAUCAAACGUCUAGAAAAUCCGUUGAAAAAUUCUUUUUCCCAAUUAUAGUUGGUCAUCUGGGUCAUAAUAAGGUCGUGUUUGUAACUCAAUUACAAUCCCCGACACGUACUCCGCAUAGCAGUUAUCCACCCCUGUAGGUCAUUGUACGACACAUCGAAAUCUCUGUACAAUUGCUGUAUUGCCAUCUGUUUAGCUAUCCAUGCCUUCCGGUAUAAUACUCGAUACUGGAAUCGUGUCUGCAUUUUGGUAAUCAGUAACGAAACUUUAAUGGUUGACAUGUCCUUCACCAUUUGCAUGAUGCACGUACAAAUAGUUUUGGAAUAAAGUUUCCGGUGAUCUUCUGGCAUAUGUGUUGAAGUGCAUGUGCGAGGCCCAACAAAUUUUCGUAUCUCCUAAAUCUGCGACUUUUGGAUAAAUAUGGCUCGUACCCGCCAAUUGUAGCAUUCCAUCAAUUUCUAAUACUCAUCAAUAUAUAAUGUUGGUUUAUACACGGUAACUUUGUAGUCUAUUGACACAUUCAUGCUAUACUGCUUAAUGACAAAUACGCACUCUUUCUUACUUUCGAAUCUCUGGCCCAUAACAACUCCUCAGGAUCAGAAUUUAUAGCCAACCGAUGAGCAGAUAGUAUAUCAGGUACUCUGGAAACUCAGCUGCAUGCACCGCAUCGGGGUCUAUAAGCGACAUACGUGCCCUGGGAUUAUUAUGUAUCAUAAUAUGUUGAAUCUGGUUCUCUACUGAAGACGCGAUAACAUUUCCAUCGUCAUUCACACAUUCAUCGUCAAUAUCAUCUAGUAUCUUGUCCAAAUCGGGAUCACUAUCACUAUUGACCUCGUGAUUAGAAGGAUCACUACUACCGCAUCCAUCAUCACCAACCGCAUCAGUCUUGGGUGCAGUAUUAAGAUCGAUGUCGCUCCCGCAUACAGUCGAUUGGCUAUCAAAGUAUGAUAUCGUAACCACCAUAUACGGCUCUUGAGCUCCAUGUUCUUUAUAUAAUGGAGUGGGAUCUUCAAUUGUCUCCACAUCAGCUAACUCAGGAAAUAACUUAAUCAGUGCAUUUUGGUCUCUCUGAUUCCCACAAUAAAGAGCGACUAUUGUCUCUAUAUCUUCAUCGUCUACAAGUUCUAUCUUAGUGAAUUUGAGGGGAUCUGUCGAAACUGGAAACUUAUAGAAAAGUUCGAGAUCCUUCUCCCACAAUGUUUAAUAAUUUUUACACUAAUCAUUUCCUUCAUAUCAUCAAACGAGACAUUUCUAUUAAAUCUUAUUGCUAUUUAUUGGCACUCAAAUAUAUAUCCAACUAUUGUUGUCAAAAUUACUCUAUCGAAAUAAAUGCAUUUGAAAAAUUGAUUAUCCAUCUUCAAUACUAAAUCUGUUAAGAAAGAAAUAAAAAUUCUCAAUACAAUUUCGAACAGCAAAAAAAUACUUUAAUAGAAAAUAAACAGUAAAAAAAAACGAACAUUAUAUCAAUAUGCAAAUUAGUAACAAAAUACCUUCACAAUAAAAACUACAUUUAUAAUUCUUUCUAUUUAAAAAAAAACAUACUUUCACCUUACUCUUCUCUACUAUCCUUUGUUUUUUUUUUUUUUUGCUUCUUCUUUCUUUCUACUUUCUUUCUUUCUUUCUCUGCUCUCUUCUCUACUAAAAACUUUUUUUUUACCUUUCUUUCUUCUUUCUUUCUUCUUUCUUUCUUCUUCCUUUCUUCUUUAUUCUCUUUUGCUAUCUUUUUUUUGUUGUUAAACUACUUCUCUUCUUCAUUGGGGACCAUUAAAAGGACCCCCAAAUUUGCUUCACCAGUGUCGCCUAUCAGAUAGAGGUAAUUGGUGCCACCUAUCAAAUAAGGGUCACUGAUGCUGCCUAUUGAUAUGGCACCACCCCCAUAUACCAUUCCCUUAUAUCUAAGCAGGUAUAUACUAAAUCCGUAAACCUGUAUUUCUUUGGAACCGCUUAACAAUAAGCCAUGACCUAUUAAAAUAUAAUUUUUUUUAAAAAUGGCUGUCAGAAUUUAGGGGUGGUGCUGCCUAUGCACCACACUCUACCAACCAAUUCAUACCAUUCUUGUAAAUAAUCUCCCAUCUAGCCCAUCUUUGAAUUUAAUAUAAUAAAAUGUAAUAUUAGAGUAAAAAACCCCAAAAUUUAGCUAUAUAUAUAAAAAAAGAGAACAAUAGUCAAAUUGACAAAAUCUAUAAACACUGAAGGCUAAAUUAGCAUUAUGCCUAUUAUUAUUUAUACUAUAUAUUGAGCUUUUGACUGAGUUAGUGUCCUCCAUCAAUUUGGUUGUAAAAUAAUCAAAAGUCAUUUCUUUUACAAAGCAAUAAAUAUCAUUUUUAUGAUAUUUCUAGAAAAAUAUAUACACAUGGUGAAAAUCAUAAAAUUGGAACCUUGAAAGAUCAUAAUUUUACUAUCUCAACUUUAUUAUUUCAAUCAAAACCUCAUUUAACUUUUAUAUUGAAUUUUUAUUUUAUUUAUAUUUAUUGAUUAUAAAUUAAUAUUUAUAUUUAUUUUAAAACCCUUCAAUAUUUUUAUUUUACACUAAGUGAUAUUAAUUGGUAUCCUCAAUUUAAUAUAAGUAUAAUCAUAUUCUUUUAGUUAUGAUUCGCAAUUAAUAGAAGACUUUUUACACGUUUUAAUGAUAAUAUUGAAAAUUAAUGAAUGAAAUAAUAAAAUAAUAAUAAUAAUAAUUUUCAAACUGUAUUAGGGUGGGUUUGGAUAGCGGUGUAUUUACUUAUGAUUAGUGUAAAAAUAGUGGUGGUGGUGAGAUUAGAUACUAUAAUGAUACUGUAGCGUGGAUAAAAAGUAAAUUAAAUGAAUCGUAGUGCACCUUACCUUCCAUUCAAACCCACCCUUAAUUAGAUUAGUCGGUUGAGACGAAGAGCUUUAGCAGUAAAACACGACAAUAAAUGCACAACAUAUAGACAAAUGAACUUAAUUUUUUAUUAAAAAUAUACAUUUUAUAUUUAAAUAUAUUUGGUCUUUUAUCCAAUUGUUUUCGAUAAACAAGUAUUUUCUUUAAAAAAUUAUUCUAAGUGAUAAAAACUUUAUAUAAAAUCUUAUUAAAUGAUCCAUAAAUAUGUGUUUUUUAAUAUAAUUAUAUAAAAAUAUAAAAAUAUCAUCUAAUAAUUAUAAUUUAAAAUAUGAUAUAUAUUAAUUUUUUUAAUUGAGAUUAAUUCGGAAUAACUCAACAAUGUGGUUUGUGAUUACGGUUAAGCUGUCAUUGUGGCGUUUGGUGCUAAUUUCAUUCCAUUUUAGACAAAUAAAUAAACAAAUUGUAGCUGGCAUGGAAUAAAAACUGCCACUCCAAUCAAAUAAAAAUAAUUAAUUAAUUAAACAGAAAUUAUCCCUUUAAACAAAGAUAUUUAAUAUAAUAUCAAUAGAGUUUAAUAAAUAUAUUAAUUGAAUUAAAUUGAGUUUUUAAUUUUAAUUAUUUUUUAAUAAUUUUUAAUUAAACUAAUUGAAUCGAUAAAUUGGUGGUAUGAUCAAUUCAACCACUGAUCUAAUUUAAAAGAGGUUGGUUAAAUUCAUUUAUGUUAUAAAAUAAAGAGUGAUGGGGAGAAUAAAGAACAAAUAAAAUAUGAGAGCAACAGAGAAUGAACUUUAUUGAUCAAAAGUGAUGAUUACAAUGCUUCAUCAGAGUCUCUAUUUAUAGGGAUAAGAAGUAUAAAAGAAAUAGAUAUUUAAUUCUAAUAACUAUUUAAAGUAUAUCAAAACUUUAUCUUUAUCAUGAUAGACAUCUACUUAAUAAGAUAUUCAUAACACUCCCCCUUGGAUGUCCAUUAGUAGAUAAUGUGCCUCGUUAAAACCUUAUUAGGAAAAAACCCUGUGGGAUAAAAAAACCUAAUGAAGGAAAAAAAGUACACAAUCUUCUAUUACAAGUUGCCUCGUUAAAAACCUUUACUAGGAAAACCCAAUGGGACAAAACCUUGAUUAAAGGAAAAGAGUACAACUUGUUUUUAGACUCCCCCUGAUGGCAACAUUACAUUACAUCUUUGAGUCGACGCAUUCUAAUCUUGUGUAGUAGUCUUUCAAAUGUUGAAGUUGGCAAUGCCUUAGUAAAAAGAUCUGCUAAAUUCUCACUAGAACGAAUUUUUUGAACAUUUAUAUCACCUAUUUUCUCAAGAUCAUGGGUGAAGAAUAAUUUUGGUGAAAUAUGUUUCGUUCUGUCACUUUUGAUAUAGCCACCCUUCAAUUGAGCUAUACAUGCUGCAUUAUCUUCGUAUAAGAUAGUUGGUAUCUUUUUCCUGUAAAGGCAAAUUACAUACCUUCUGGAUAUGUUGGGUCAAUAACCUUAGUCAAACAUGCUCUCGACUUGCCUCAUGCAUUGCAAUUAUUUCUACAUGAUUUGAAGAAGCAGCAGCUAAUGUUUGCUUUGUUGAACGGCAUGAUAUGGCAGUAUCCCCACAUUUAAAUAAAUAUCCUGUUUGAGAUCGACCUUUAUGUGGAUUCGAUAAGUUUCCAGCAUCAGCAUAGCCAACUAAUAGGGAUUUUGAAUCAUUUGAAUAAAAUAACCUCAUCAAUAGUCCCUUUGAGAUAUUUAAAUAUAUGUUUAAUUCCAUUCCAAUGUCUACGUGUUGGAGAAGAACUGAAUCUUGCUAACAAGUUUAUAGCGAAAGCUAUAUCAGGUUUUGUGUUGUUUGCAAGAUACAUCAAUGCCCCUAUGGCAUUUAAAUAUGGCACUUCAGGACCAAAAAACUCUUCACUAUCCUCGUGAGAACGAAAUUGAUCUUUAUUCACAUCUAACGAUCGUACAAUCAUUGGAGUACUUAAUAGGUGUGCUUUAGCUAUGUAAAAUUUCUUUAAUAUCUUUUCCGUAUAAGUUGAUUGAUGAAUAUGAAUUCCAUCUUUUAAAUGCUUGAUUUGUAAGCCAAGACAAAACUUUGUUUUUCUAAGAUCUUUCAUCUCAAAUUCUUUCUUUAAACAAUUUACUGUAUUUUAGAGCUCUUCAGGAGUUCCAAUAAUAUUUAGAUCAUCAACAUAAACAGCAAUUAUCACAAAAUUUGAUCCAAACCUUUUUAUAAAGACACAUGGACAAAUUGGAUUGUUUUUGUAACCUUCUUUUAACAAGAAUUCACUAAGACGGUUGUACCACAUACGUCCAAAUUGUUUUAAUCCAUAUAAACUUUUCUUUAAUCUGAUCGAACAAUUUUCUCGAGAAACUCUAUAUCCUUUAGGGAUCUUAAAUUCUUCAGAGAUUUUCAUAUAAAUUUCACUAUCAAGUGUGCCAUACAAAUAGGCUAUAACAACAUCCAUUAGAUGUAUGUCGAGUUUUUCACGUACUACCAGACUAAUAAGAUAUCUAAAAGUGAUUGCAUCCACCACAGGAGAAUAUAUCUAUUCAUAAUCAAUGCCGAGCCUUUGUGAAAAUCCUUGUGCUACAAGUUGUGCUUUAUAUCUUACGACUUUAUUUUUUUCAUUUUGUUUUUGCACAAAUACCCAUUUAUAUCCUACCGGCUUUAUACCUUUAAAUGUUUGGACUACAGAUAAAAAACCUCACGUUUAUAAAGUGAAUUUAAUUAUGCUUGAAUUGCAUCUUUCCAUUUUGGUCAAUCUUUUCUAUUUCUACAUUUAUCAAUAGAUUUAGGCUCAGGAUCAUCGUUUUCUUUUUCUACUUCAAUAACAACAUUAUAUGCAAAAUUGUUGUCGACAACUAUAUUUUUCUGAUUCCAUCUUUUCCCCGAAGUAACAUAACUUAUCAAAAUCUCUUCGUUAUCAUCAUUUUCAGGUACCUGAAUCCCUUCUGGGGUUUUAUGAUUAUAAUUAGUUAUAUCUUUGGCCUCUUCUUGGGAAUUUGUCUCUAUUAUAUAAUCACCUUGAGUAUUUGCUCCUUUCCUUUUACGAGGAUUUUUAUCUUUGGAACCAACCAGUAUUUCACAAUUCAGGCAUGGAUUACUUUCUUUUGUACUAACAGUUUUCCCUAUUGGGAUAUCAAUUCGUAUUGGAGAAUUUUUAGCUGGUAUGUGAGAUUUUGUAAUUCUAUUUAAGUCAGUAAAUGAAUCUAGCAAUUGAUUGGCGAUGUUUUGAAAAUGUAUGAUCCUUUUAACUUAUUGUCACAUUGACUUGUACGAGGAUCUAAUUGAGAUAAUGAUGAUCCAUUCCAUGUAAUUUCUUUUACCAGCUAUAUUUUCUCUUCCUCUAAUGUUGGGAAUAUUGUUUCAUUAAAGUGACAAUUAACAAAUCGUGCAGUAAAUAAAUCUCCAGUUAAUGAUUCAACAUACUUAAUUAUAGAAAGAGAUUCAUAACCAACAUAUAUUCCCAACCUCCUCUGAGGACCCAUCUUUGUUCAUUGUGGUGGAGCAAUUGGAACAUAUACCGCACAUCAAAAAAUUCUAAGAUGGGAAAUAUUUGGCUCCUGAACAAAAGCCAAUUGCAAUGGAGAGUAUUUAUUGUAACUUGUUGGCCUGAUGCGCAUAAGUGCUGCUGCAUGUAAAAUAGCAUAUCCCCAAGCUGUAAUAGGGAGCUUUGUUCUCAUAAGUAAUGGCCUAACUAUUAGUUAGAGGCGUUUGAUAAACGAUUCAGCUAAACUGUUUUGUGUGUGAACAUGAGCUACAGGAUGUUCAACUUUUAUCCCAAUUGACAUACAAUAAUCAUUGAAAGCUUGAGAUGUAAACUCACCAACAUUAUUAAGACGGAUAGUUUUUAUUGCAUAAUCUGGAAAUUGUGCUCUUAAUCAAAUUAUUUGAGCAAGUAGUCUCGCAAACGUCACGUUGCGAGUCGAUAAUAAACAUACAUGUGACCAUCUACUAGAUGCAUCUAUUAAUACCAUAAAAUAUCUAAAUGGUCCACAUGGUGGAUGAAUAGGCCCAUAUAUAUAUCACCUUGAAUACGUUCCAGAAAUGCGGGAGAUUCAAUCCCAACUUUAGCUGGUGAUGGUCUAAUAAUCAGUUUACCUUGAGAACAAGCAUCACAACAGAAAUCUUUGAAUUCAAGAAUCUUCUGAUUUUUUAAUGGGUGCCCAAUUGAAUUCUCAAUUAUUUUUCACAUCAUAAUAGAUCUAGGAUGGCCUAGACGGUCAUGCCAAAUAAUAAAAGUAUAUGGUUCUACAAACUUCUGGUUUGUAAUAGAAGUUUGUAAUAACGGGUGUCUCAAUUGCACUAAUAUGUGUAUAAUAUAAACCUGAUGAAAAAGCAGGUAGUCUUUCCAAAACACAUUUCUUUCCACAUUCAACAUUUUUAAUAUAUAGAUAUUCAAUAUUUUUCUCAUUCAUAGUCUCAAUAUGAUAUCCAUUAAUACAAAUAUCUUUAAAACUCAAUAAAUUUUUUUGAGACUUAGUGGAAAAUAAAGCAUCAUCAAUGACAAAUUUUGUACCUUUAGGUAAUAAUAAAAUUGCUCUUCCGGAGCCUUCAAUAAGUUUUGAACUACUCGAGAUUGUAUUAAUAUUAGCAUCACUUAUUGUUAAAUGAGAAAAAUAUUUUUUCUCUUUGAGUAUCGUAUGUGUGGUAGUACUAUCAGUAAGACAUAUGUCUCUAUUGAUUUUGGAUCCAACAAAAUUUUGUUGAUCAUUCAUAUUCUUCAAAAAAAAAUAUAAUAUUAGAAACGUUGCAAAUAUUUAUUGAAUAUGUAUAACUUGCAAAAUAAGUAAAUAAAUAAACUUAUCUUUUGAAUCAAGAAAAUGAACAUAUUUAAAAUAACAUAAUAACACCAACUUAUUCCUUAUGCAAGAAAACGAAACAUACUUAAAAACAAUAUAAAAUGCUAAAAUAACACCAACUCUUCUAAUGAUUCUCAAAGAAAUCUGUCACAUCAAGGUGAGUUAUAUCAUUAAGACCAUGAAUUACAUCACCCUCUUUUUUUUACCUCUAUUUCAUCAUUUUUGGAUAUAAAAUUUGUCUCAAUAUUAAUUUUCUUCCUUUUAAGAGAUGCUUGAUAAAGUUUCACUAAAUGUUUAGGCGUACGAGAGGUACGUGACCAAUGUUCCCUUAUACCAUAUCGGUAACAUAAAUUCUCAAUAACCUUUGAAGAAUUAUUUUGACCAUCUCUUUCUUGUCCUUCAUUGCUAUUCUUUUUCUGGUGGUUAGAAAUACCACUAUUAUAACACCAUGAUAGCGGUUACUAGCACAUUCUCGACCACGUCCCCCACUAUGUCCACGACCACGACCACGAUCGCAACCUUUAUAUUUUUUAUUUCCAUAUUUACUGUGUACUGCAACAUUCACUUCAGGGAGUGGUGCAGUACCAGUGGGACGAAUUCCAUGAUAUUUCAUCAACAACUCAUUAUUUUGUUCAGCCACUAAAAGACAUGAAAUCAAUUCAAAAUAUUUUUUAAAACCUUUUUCACGAUAUUGCUGCUUCAGAGCACAUUAGUAGCAUGAAAGGUUGAAAAGGUUUUCUCUAACCAAUCCUUAUCAAUUAUGUUCUCUCCACAUAAUUUCAUUUGAGAACUUGUAACACCCCUUACCUGUGUCCAACACCGGGACAGGAUACGAGGCAUUACUAACUUAUUCAUAAGCGUACAAACUUUUUUGAGUCGUAAAAAUAUGAAUAAAUUAAAAACCUUUCAAAAUUUCACCUUUACAACUCUAAUGUGGGUCUACAAGGCCCAAAAUAUACUUAGAAACCAAUUCGGGAUCAAUCCGGAUCUCUUAAAGAGCUUUGGAAAUUUUCACUAAAGACAGGGGCACACGCCCGUAUGGGAGGUGACACGCCCGUGUGAUCGGCUUGACAUGGCCUUGUUGGUGACCCGUGUGGCUCACACGGCCUAGUGUCUAUCGGGACAGGCCCGUGUCCCUAGCUCGUGCGGAAUUUAAUUUUUAGUUCAAGGUGCAGUGGUUUUCACACGGCUUGGCACACGCUCGUAUGCCUGGCCUGUGUCUUCCAACAUGGCCUCGACAUGCCUAUGUCUUGGCCCGUGUCCAAAAACUAGGGCAUUCUGUUUCCGACGUCAUCAUAACCAAAAAGUCACACGGCCGAAGCACACACCCGUGUGCCAGUCCGUGUCCUCCAAACGACUGAGACACACAGCUAUGUCUCUGCCCGUAUGGUUAUUACCAUGCAUAUUGACUUGAUAUUUUUACUUACAGGGGACACACGGCCGGACCACACACCCGUAAUUUAAGACUAUUUUCCAAACCUCAUUGCCACCCUUGUUUAUCUAUCUUCAUGCUAUAACCAACCAAUACCAAAACAAGCUAAAUUUUCAUAAUCAAUUCGACCAUAAUAGGCAUUCAUGCAACCAUGAUGAUGCAUCUUCUAUAAACUUAAAAAGGAAUGUUAGCCAUCAUUCAAGGCUUAAUACGAAGUGUGAGAUUUACCCCAAGCCAAUUCAUUUGGUAAAUGCUCAAGACACAAAAUGAUAAAGUCUAGACCCUAUACAUGCCAUACUUUAAAAAUAUAAAUCCAACUAUACCGAGUGUUUCAGAUGAUAGUGUGAUCGAUAUCUCUAACGUCCGAUGAUCCUUAAGCUAAAUAGGCGACACUAUAAGAAAAAUAGAAAGGAAGAGGGAGUAAGCAUAAAAGCUUAGUAAGUUGUAUAUAAAUGAAUAUACAACAACCAUUUCAUCAAUGAUCAACAUAUUUAUGACCCAGAUGUAGACAUAGAUGUAACUUACUCAUUACCAACCAUGCAAGUCACAUAAUACAAUAUGUAUAUUGAGCUCAUAUCUCAUACGUACCAAUAAGGUACCUGUACCAUUCACAACACGGUUAUACUUUCCUCAUUAACUCAAAACAUAACAUCCACCGUUGAACCAUUCGGAGUAUCACCGGAUAUUCAUUAAACCUCGAAUAUGGGUAAGAUGCCGAUGCCAUGUCCUAGACAUGGUCUUACAUUGGCUCAUAUCUCAAGUCGAUCCCAUGUCCUAGACAUGGUCUUACACUGGCUCAUAUCUCAAGUCGAUGCCAUGUCCCAAACAUGGUUUUACAUUGACCAUCAUCUCGUAGUCGAUGCAUGUCCCAGACAUGUCUUACACUAGCUUACAUCUCGAGGCCGAUGCAUGUCCCAGACAUGUCUUACAGUAGCACUCGUCUCAGUGCCGAUGCUAUGUCUCAAAUAUGGUCUUACACUAGCUUCCAUAAUGUGGCCGAUGCAUGUCCCAGACAUGUCUUACACUAGCACACACAAGUGACCCAAUUAUUGUGGCAUGAAUGUCCGGUCUACUUCCUAAGGUUCUAACGGAAAUUCUAUUAUCUCAAUUAUCAUUAUACAUUCUCAAAUUUUAUAAUCAAUCAAUUCAUGCUAUAUCGAUUCAAUGACAAUUCAAACACAUAUAUCAACAACAUAAUUGUAUUAUUUACAUACAACUUACCUCGGAUUACAAAAUGCACAUGACUAGUCGGUUUGCUUGGCUUUCCCCCGGUCAAGGUUAGGAUUUGACAACUCUUGAUCUAUAAUAGUAAAAUGCACUCAUUUAGUUACUAAUCACAAUUAAGUAAUAAAAAAUUCACAUCCUUGGUAAAAUGACCAUUUUGCCCCUAAGCUCGAAAAUCUAUUUUUAUAGAAUUUCUUCGUAUCUUAAGCCUAGCCGAACCCUUUUUACUCUUAUAGUAACUUCAAAAUCUCACUAUUUCAUAUAUUUAUCCCUUAAUUCACAACUUAUGCAAAAUAGUCAAUUUGGGUGUUUUUAUGCUAACACCUCUCACAAAAGUUGUUUAAGACUCUUCUAAGACUCAUAUUCUUCCAUAAAAUUUCAGAAAAUAAAAUGAACAUUUACAUAGUGAAACCUAUACUUAUUACUAUUUUGCAAAAUAGUCCUCUCAUUUGAAAGCCUAUGACAUAAGCAUGCCAAAAAUGUAAAAAUUAUCAAGAAAAUCAUCAAGAUCACUUACAUUAUGAGAGGAAUAAAUUGCUGUAAAUUUUUAGUUUUCAAACUCCAUAUUUACUGAUAUUUUCGGUGGAGAGAAGAGAUGGAGAAGAAGAAAAAUGCUAGAUAGGCCUUAGGCAUUAUUUUAUCACCAAAUCAUGAAUCACUUACCUAAACUUUGACUAUUUUUUUAAAAUUCAUCUCAUGGCCGGCCAAGCUACUCCCUAAGGGUCUAUUUGCCCUUUAAAUACCCCAAAUUUAAUUCAUAUAGCUAAUUGACACAUUUGGGCACUAGUUUGCAACUUUUGCCUUUUAUGCGAUUUAGUCCUUUUUCGCAAUUGAGCAAGCCAUCGCUAAAAUUAAUUCACCAAAUUUUCCAUACACUAAUAUUAACAUGCUAUGACCCCAAAAUAAUAAUAAAAUAAUUUAUCCAACUCUGGAUUUGUGGUCCCGAGACCACUAUUCCGACUAGGCCCUAAGUCGGGAUGUUACAAAACUAAUUUUGAAAAGUUCUAAAUUGUAUUCACUUACAGUUUUAAAAUCUUGCAGUCAUAAGUGCAUCCAAUCAUAACGAGCUUUAGGGAGGAUCACUGUUUUCUAAUGGUCAAAUCUUUCUUUCAAAUUUUUCCACAACUCAAGAGGGUCUUUUACAGUGAGAUAUUCCACUUUUAAUCCUUCAUGUAGAUGAUGAAGGAUGAAAAUCAUUGCUAUUACCUUAUCUUGGUUAGAUGCUUCUUUAUUUUCUACUAUAGUAUUCCCUAGACCUUUAGCAUCUAGGUGAAUUUCAGCAUCUAAAACCCAUGACAAAUAAUUUUUGCCUAAAAUGUUUAGGGCGGCAAAUUCAAGUUUGGCAAGAUUUGACAUUAUAAUCAUUAAAAAAACCACUUAAGUCGAUAUAGAAAUUAAAUUUGAUUCUUUUCAAGAUUUUUAAGUAAAUCACUGCACAAGUUUGAACCCCUCUUUUUUCGUCAAUUUUUGGGUAGCCAAUCAACCAAUUUGAAUGCUAAGUGAGAAAAAUAAUGAAAGCAAUUCAACGGGGGAUUAGAAAAAGAUAUAAAGCAAUUGAGGUAUGGGUUAUCAAAUGAAAAAUAAGAAUGAGACGGGUUUAGAAAAAAAAAUUGAGAAACGUGCUGAUAACGUGUUAUAAAAUAAAGAGAGAUUGGGAGAAUAAAGAACAAAUAAAAUAUAAAAGCAACAGAGAAUUAACUUUAUUGAUAAAAAAAGGAUGAUUACAAUGCUUCAUCAGAUCUCUAUUUAUAGGGAUAAGAAGUAUAAAAGAAAUAGAGAUCUAAUUCUAAUAACUAUUUAAAGUAUAUCAAAACUUUAUCUUUAUCAUGAUGGAUAUCCACCUAAUAAGAUAUUCAUAACAAUUUAUUAUAUUAUCUCAUUUUUCUUUUUAUUUUCUCAUGCUUUCAUUUUGACAAUAUGAAAAAAACCCAAAAAUUCAUACCUCUUCUUCUCAAAUUUUAAUUUAGAAUUUGAAAAAAGGAAAAGAAAACAAUACUAUAUCGGAUGUUGAUUAACAUUUAACUACCUUAAUCUCACUAUUAAUUUUUAGUUUAAAAAUUAGAUGACAUUUUUAUAAUGUAGUUGUGUAAUUAAUGCUUCAAGACUAAGGUAAAGUUAGAAACGGAAUUAAAUUGUACAUUUUUACGAUAGUAAAAAUAUAAUUUUACUAUUUUAAUAGUUUAUCUUUAUAAUUUUUAAAUGAUUAAAUCAAUUUUUUACGAUUUUGAGAGGUAAUGUACAAUUUUACCAUUAUUUAUUUAAAAUUUUAUAAAUUAAGAGUCUAAAUAAAAAAAAUUCCAUUUUAAAUGAGACUGGGGCCCCUAUCAUCCCAUGGUUUCUCCACUAUUGGUAGAGGUAUUCAUGGGUCUGGUUGGGCCUAAGUAUGAUAUUAACAUACUUUACACUUACCCAUGUCUGACCCGACUUGAAAUAUGAGCGUAAAAUUUUGUCCAAGGCCUCUCAUAUUUACAAAAGACUAACCCAAAUUCACUUUAGGCUUGUCUAUAUUAUUUUUAAAAUUUUAAUAAAUACAUUUAUUUUAAUAUUAUUUUAUUUUUUAUUUAUCGAAAGUUUUUAUAUAGUUAUCUUAACAUAUUUAGUAUAGGUUUAUUUUUUAAUGUAUUCUAAAUUACAUAAUAUAUAAAAAUAACAUAAUAUAAAAUAUUAUAAACUUUAAAACGGGUCAAGUCGGGCUCGGGCCUUGAAUUUCAAGCUUGAGUCCGGCCCAUAUUUUAAAUGAGCUUAGAUAUUUUUGGCAAAACCUAUUUUUCAGGUCUAAUAUUUUUAUCCAAAUCAUCCCAAAUUUCGAAUAGACCUUCAAUCCUGAACGAAUAACCCGAUACAUGAACAAGUUCAGAUACUAAAAAAUUAAAAAUAUUAUGACACCGGAAAGAAGUAGUCUUCAUUUUCUAUAAAACAAGAAAUCUACCUGAAUUCUAAGACCUUAAAAUCCAAUUAUCCAACCCUUGUUUGUUAAAAAAAAAAAGAAGUCUUAAUUUUCUAAAAAUACAUGCAAUGAAACGGCACUAACAAAUCUUAUGAUCCAUGACGGAAGAACCCAUUAUUGUCAAAUGUGAAAUUUUCAUCAAAUUGGAAUCAGUGAAUUACCAAAUGGGAAAUAAUCCAAUCCAAAAGUAGGCGAACUCGUUGCUGAAGUAAUCAUAGCAAUACAAACCUUAACUAAUCCGAUCAUGAAAAUCAAAUUUGAAGAAGAAUAUGAGGUUUGGAUUUCUGAGGUUUUUUUUUAACUAUUAUUUUUUCUUUUAUUUUGAUAAAUAAUUAAUAUUAAAUAAAUUAUAUUUUAGUCCUUUAAAGUGGCAUGCAAUAUUUAUGAUAAUGUAAAUUAUGCCAUGUGAUAUUUAAUGAUUGGUCCAUAUGUAAAAAAGAAAAAGACCAUAUAAGAUGUCUGUUAAAGUUUGCAAUCAGACUAAAAUGAAUAAAUUGUGUAACAUGCGUACUUAAAUUAUAAAUUUUUUAUUUUAAGUGUCUAAAAUUAAAGUUUUUAAUAAUUGAAGGACUAUUUAUGGAGUUUACCUUUCUUUUUCGUUUAUCCUUUCCCCAGUGGUUGGAUUACGUAUUUUUCUGAGAUCUUUUUCUUUCCAAUUAAAAAGUUUCUUAACAGAAUGACAGAAAUACCCAUUUUCAUUCCACGACGUGACAUCCAGGUCCCUACUUCAGUACAAAUAUAUUGACCCAACCUAAUUAUGCGCUGAGCUCGUAGUAAGUUCCUUUUUCUUUCUUUUUCUUACUUUUCUUCCUGCCCUUUGCAUGUUCGAGAAAAACCCAAGAAAAAAAAUAUUACUACUACGUAAAACAACAACACUAUCUUUGAAUUUGGAUUUUUUUUUCAUUUCCAAAAAAGAAAAAAAAAUCCAUUUUAGGUUUUUUGUUUCCAGGAUUGAAACUUCUUGUUUUCUUUUUAUUUAUUAUUAUUUAUAGUGAGUGCCCAAUGGGGGAAAGGGUGAUGGUAGCAAGUUUGUCUGCAAGCUUCUCUCUCUCUCUCUCUCUCUCUCUCUCUCUCUCUCUCUCUCUCUCUCUCUCUCUCUCUCUCUCUCUCUAAGUUAAUUUGAUUUUGUAAACUGAAAGAAAAAUUUACGAAAUUAAGUAAAAGAAAAAGGGUUGAGAGAAAAAAAAAAGAAAUUAAUAAACAGAAAACAAGGGAAAUCUGCUGAGGGAUCUUUUAUGUAUAUGUGUUAGUAUAACUACAUGACACCAAAUCAGAGAAGAACACCUUUGUUCACAAUCUGGCAUUUAAAAGCAAGAGAAAGAAACAGUAGCUGAGUUAGUUUUUUCUUACUUUUUCUUUUUCCUCCUCCUCAAACUUCAACUCACCUUGAUUUUAGUUUGUCUUUUAGAUUUUUUUUUUCAUUUUUAGGGCUUUUAUCAAUCAAUUCUACUCAAAAAGCUCAAUAAGCCCUUUUCUCAGCUUUUUCAGAUAAGAUUUCAGUGUGGGGUUGUUGUUAGAUUAUGGGUUUUCAAGAGAGGAGAUAGUAGAUGAUUUAUAGCUGAGAAAAAUAAAGAGGAAUAAUUACUUGAAGCAAACGAAGUAAAGAAAAAAAAAAAGGGUUUUGCUUAGAGAUGGCUGCAUCUUCCUCGUUAGGACCUUUUGGAAUUAGAGAAGAGGACCAACACCAGCAUUCUACAGCAGCACCAACUUCAGCUAUGGGGCCAGCUCCACCGCCGCCUCAGAGGAAAAAGAGAAACCAACCAGUCCGACCAAGCAAGUAUCCGCAUUUUAUGUAUAAUUAGAUUCUACUAGUAAACCCAGCUAUUUGUAUACCAAUAAUUCAAGUGAAGGAUCAAAGUUCCUUAUAUGGAUAUGAAACCCUAAAUUCCAAGAGCAUUUUUUUAAGUGGAAUGACAAGGGGUGAAUGUGUUUCCUGUUUUCUUUUAAUAUUCUCCAAUUAUCAUCCAAAAACUUUUUUCAUCCUUAUUGCAAUUAAUCAAAUUUGAAUAUGAUUACAGAUCCAGAUGUGGAAGUGAUAGCACUGUCUCCCAAGAGCCUAAUGGCAACAAACAGGUUUAUUUGUGAGGUAUGCAACAAAGGGUUCCAAAGGGAGCAAAACUUACAGCUUCACAGAAGAGGACAUAAUCUCCCUUGGAAGCUUAGACAGAAGACUACAAAAGAAGUGAAGAGGAAGGUUUAUCUCUGCCCUGAACCCACAUGCGUCCACCAUGACCCGUCUAGGGCACUUGGUGACCUUACAGGCAUCAAAAAGCAUUACUCGAGGAAACAUGGUGAGAAGAAAUGGAAGUGCGAGAAGUGUUCUAAGAGGUAUGCCGUGCAAUCUGACUGGAAAGCUCAUUCAAAGACCUGUGGAACUCGAGAGUACAGAUGUGACUGUGGUACUCUCUUCUCAAGGUUAGUUAAUAAUACAGAAAAAAAAUACUUACUAUCUAUGUUCUAUUACAUAUCAUCAUCCAUUCACCAUUUUCUCUUGUUUUGUUCAUUCCAAAGUAUCGAUAGCUUCUGUGAGAAAAAAAAAAAAACAGUUUCAUCUUUUGUUUUUCCUAGGAACCACCGCCCCUUCUUUGUUUUACAUUUUAUUUCUCCCUCUUAUUCACGUGCUGCUAUGCCAUGUGUAGAGUUUACAGUGUUGUUGUUACCAUUUUUGUUAUGUUGUGGGUUAGCUAGACUUGUUGAGGUUUUUGGUUUCAUGAUAAUUUAGCCUCUAAACUCUAAAAAAGAAAAAAAAAACUUGAGCUUGAGAGGCUUGAUCGAUUUAGGAAUUUGGCAUCUUGAUUUAUCGUCUUUCACUUGGUUGAAUACAUUCUCUUGGGUAGUUCGUCCAAGUUUUGUUGACAUUCUUUUGACUUGUUUAGGGUUCACUACACAUUUUCUUUUGAACCCUAAUACUUCAAAGGCAAAGUAUGACUUAUGGCACUUCAUUCAAAAGCUUUGUUGGUCCAAUGUAGCAAACGGCAGCUUUUCAACGUUACACAUCUUCAUUUUCUUAUCCUUGCAUUUUUUGGGGUAGAAUAAUAUCUCAGCAAUACGAGACAAACAGAAAAUGAUAGGGAGAAAAAUGAAAUGUAAUUAAUCAAAUUACCUGACAACUUAAGGUGUCCAUUUAGGUAGCUAGUUGUAUGUGCCUAAGAUCCUUUCCACAAACUAACUUUCAAAAUCUUAUAAUUUGAUGUAUUGAACAUAGCAGACAUGAGUUGCUGUUUAAACUUUGUAUUGAACUCCAAUCUCAACCCGUGUCCUUUGUUUUGUUUAUCUUGUACUAUCUGUAUAUCAACAGGUUAUGUAAUUGAUUCCUCCUAUUAUAACUGUUGCAGGCGUGACAGUUUCAUCACACAUAGGGCAUUUUGUGAUGCACUGGCUCAGGAAAAUGCAAGGCAACCUCCUUCCUUCAACUCCAUUGGCAACCAUUUAUAUGGAAGUACUAGUAAUAUUUGCUUAGGGUUAUCUCAAGUGGGAACUCAAAUGUCAUCAGUACAAGACCAGGCUAAUAAUAACAGUGGUGGCCGUGACAUUUUUAAACUUGGAGGUGUUGCCAGGAGUACCCAAUUUGAUCAUCUUUUACUCUCUCCAUCAAUGGGGUCAUCAUCAUCAUCAUCUUUUCGACCCCAACAAUCCAUUGUUUCUUCAGCUGCUUUCUUCAUGCCUGAGUCUAAUCAAGAGCAUCAUCCUCAACAAGGGAUUUUGGGAAACAACAAACAGUACCACCAGGGACUAAUGAUGCAGUUUCCUGCAGAUAUCCAAAACAACACAACCAACACUCCUUCACCACCCAGUUUCUUCAAUCUUAGCUUCCUUUCAAAUUGCGGAAACGAUAUCAACCUGGAUGCCAAUCUAACAUCAUCAGGUUUGCUGACCCCUGAACAUUUCGACAAUGAAACUGGAGGCGGUGGUGGUGGGACGAGCGAAGUCUCAGAUCCCUUCUCAAACACUGUAAUGGGAAACCAAAUCACCACUAACAUCCCUUCUGUCUUUGCUCAAAGCAAUAACAUUGCAGUCCAAAUGUCAGCUACCGCAUUGCUCCAAAAAGCUGCUCAAAUGGGUUCAACUUCAAGCUACAAAAACGCCUCUCUUAUGAGAAGCUUUGGUAACUCAAAAUUUGGCGGCACAUUGGGAGAUAGCACCGGGAACAACCUACAUGAACUAAUGAAUUCCAUAGCCGGAGGUCGGUCCAAUACAUAUAGCUUUGGACAUGGACAAGAAAACCCAUAUGCAAAUAGAAGCAGCGUAGAACAAGAAAAGCAUUUAGAGCAGCAGCCGCAAAUUUUGAAUGUUAGUGGUGGUUGUGGGUCAGAUAGAUUGACCAGGGACUUCCUUGGAGUAGGGCAAAUAGUUAGAAGCAUGAGUAUGGGAGGGGUUUCACAAAGGGAGCAACAGCAACAACAAGAAGCGAUGGGGUUAAGCGCCUUGGGUUCAGAGAGAAGUAAUAUUACUGCGCCGACAAAUCACCAAUGUUUAGGAGGAAAUGGGAAUUUUCAGUGAAGAUCAAAGAAGAAAAAACAAGAAAAGGGGUAGGAAUAUGAAGAAAGUACAAAGGUACGUAUAUUAUUAGUGACGUAUUAUAUGAUUAAAAGUUUUUUACUUUUUCAAUUCCAUAGGUAAAUGUGUCUUUGGUUACUGUUUUUGCCUUUUGGAGUUUGGAUUUAUUUUAUUUUAUUUUUGUGUGUGUUCUUUGAAUUCUCUGACAUGUUUUCUUGCAUGAGGCAGUCAUGAGUUGUUUCACAGUAGUAACAGUGCUUAUUUCUUUUGUUUCAUUUCUUGUCUACUAGUUUUUUUUUUUUUUCCUAAAAAAAAUAUGGGCCAGCAGUGUCACGAGUGUUGCUCAUCCACACUCUUAUUAUGUUUUCUACUAACACAUGGGAAAACUAUGGUCUGUUGAACUCUUUUUAUCUUUGCAGUGCAGGUAUUGUUCCAUGGCAAGUCGUAAAGGCUACAGGGGGGAGGGGGAUACAUGAUUAAACCCUGUAUUCUGUUUCUUUACUUCUUCUCUUCAACUGUUAAUUGGGAAUGAGUUUCCUCACCUACAUUAAUCUUUUUUUUCAUAUAUAGUACUUUGAAUGCUCUCUAAAAUCUUUUAUCUUUUUAAAAUUAAUUUCUCGUUUUUCUACCCAUUAAAUUUAAAACUCCAAAUUUUUAUUUAACAAGCGAUUAUAAAAUUUUCGUCUUCCCUCAAAUUCACAUUUGGAAUUGCUGGUAUAUGUAUAUUCCAUUGUGAAGGAAUAAAGUGUUGAUACACUGUGGCAGUCACGGACUAAUUAAAAUCCAGAAAGUGAGAAAAAAAAGACAAGAAUGGGGAGGAAAAGGGCAGAUGAGAAACCCGAUAAUUACCAUAACCAACAAUAAUUCUGGAGGGAUGCCACCUGAUUUACUGAAAUUUUCUGACCCAAUUCUAUCACUCACCUCUAAUUACACAUAUUCCUACCUAAAAUGCCUUGCUGCUGCUUAUGGUUAUAAUUUGGAAAUUUUCAGAUUCCAAUUUUGAAAUCAAUGAGAUAGAUCAUUAAGAGUCCCACCAAUUACAUUUUCUUUUUAUACAAUAUAGAUACAUCUUUAAAACCGUUGGAAAUAUAUUCUAACUAAAAUUUAUAGAAUUUUAAAUUAAUAAUAUUAAAAUUAUACUUUGACUUAAAUCUUUUCAAAAUUAUAAAGAUAUAGACUAUUAAAAUGAUGAGAUUAUAUUUUUAUUAUUGUAAAAAUAUACCCCUAUAUUAAAUCAACAUCUCCCCUUAAAAAUGCAACAUAUUUUACUAUUACACUCAAUAACUAUUAAUAUAAACAACUUGUUAUGAAAAUAUAUAAUUUAUAAAAGAAGUUAUAGAUAACUUUUUACCCUUAAUUUUUAAAAUGAUAAUUAAUUAAUCAGUAAUGGAUGAAAAUAUUUGGUGAAUAUCUGCACUUCCAGAAAGAUGAAAAUAAAUGGAGAAGAGUGCGAUGUAAAGUUGAGCGAAUAAGAAUAUUUUGGUUAUUAAUUAAUUAACACACUGGUUGGGAUUAGGUAUUAGAUGGUCAAAUCAUUUCUUUAUCCAAACUAUAAAUAUAUUGAAAGAAUAAUGUCUCUUCUCUUACUACUAAAUGGAAUAGGAGACAGGCAGGUUUUAUUUUUUUUCAUUUUUUCAUUUAUUUUUUUUGUCAAAUUAUCUUGAAAUUAAUGAAAAAAGUUACAUAUACAUAUUAUAAUAUGUUAACAUUUAAUUAAUUUUUUAAAAUUUAAAAAUUCAAAAAAAAAUGCUGAUAUGCUAUCUAAUUGACAAUUCAUGUGUAUGACACGUUAGGAAAAUUAACAAACAUUUAAUUUUUUUAUUUAUUUUGAGAUGAUUUGACAAAAAAUAAAAAAUUAAAUGUUAAAAGAAGUGAAAAUUUAAAUGAAAGAUUAAAUUAUUAUUUUUUAAAUUAGAGGACCAAAUAAAUCAUUAUACUUAAAAGAUAAUAAUAAAAUUAAUGGAAGUUAGUUUGAUUAUUAUUUUAUUUAUGUAUUGCUAGAAAAGACAUGAAGAAAUUUAGAGCCUGUUCUUCUGUGCUUAAAAAAAGCAUUUCUAGCUCCAAAAGUACUUUUGGAAGAAAAGCUAUUUAGAACAAGUUGUUUUUGGCUGAAAUUUUUGACUUUUCAAAAGUGCUUUUGAAAAGCACUUAUGAAAAUGUGAAGCUAAAAUUUUUAACUUUUCCUAUUUCAAAAGCACUUUUAGUGCUUAAUUACUUUUUCACCCCUCCAAUAAUAUAAUACUUUUCCUUUUUUUUUCUUGGUGCUUAAUUACAAAUUAAUGUGUUAAAAUCAUUAAUUAAAAAUAAAAAAAUAUUUUUUAAAAUACUAAUUACAAAUAUUUAAUGGUUAUAUUUAAAUAUUUAAAAUGUAGUUUAUAUAUUCUAAUUAAAUUUUAUAAGUAAUUAAUAUUUAUUACUUAAAAAUAUUUAAAAUUUAUAUUUCAUAUAUUAAAAUAUUAACAAGUUAUAAUAAUUUUUUUAUAUUCUUACUAUAAUAUAAUAAUAUUACUAAUUUAAAUUUUAUUUAAAUGCAUAUUUGUUACUUGAUAAUAAUAUGUUUAAAAUGGACAUUUUAUUUCUCAAAAAUACUUUUUGACAGCAAUGCUAAACACUCAAAUUUUAAACCAAACUUUUCAAAAGCACUUUUUAAAAGUAUUACCAAAUUAACCCUUAAUAUAAUGAAAUAAUAUUUUCAAGAUUUUUACAAUAAUAAGGUUGCCAAAGUUGAACUAAAAAAUGUAUAACCAAAAUCUAAAAUUUAAAUUCAAAAGAAAAAUCUUCAAAAUUUGAAAGAGAGAAUUGACUAAGUUUGUUUGUUAUUAUUGUGGUUGGUACCACCAUUCGGAACGCCGUAAGUUGGCAGAAGCAUGCAUUGGCAUUUCCACCCGAAGGAAGAAAUGAAAGUAGUUGCUGAAUGUCAAACGCAAAUCCAAUAACAAAACAAACUAUACAAUUAAAACUCACAUCACGUGACAACAAAUUCCUAUCACCAUAAAUUCACAACACGUGAAUCUGGGGAAAUCUAUAAAAAAAAUGUAUGGCGCUGCUACAAGGCACAACUAAAUUAUUGCGUUUUAAUCACUCAAUUUUAAAAAAUUAUAAAAUAUCAUUAAGUUAUUAGAAAGUUUUCAUUUAACUCAUUGAAUUAUUUGUAACUUUUUAUUUAAGUUAUUGGAUUAUUAGUUAUUUUAAAAUUUUGGCUAGUGAGUUCCAAGUGACAAUUAGUACAAUGGAUUACUACUUAUUGACGAAUAGAAAAAUAUACCUUGGAUCUAAGUUGAUUUGACGGUCAAUACUAGAGAUUGAGGAAGAAACUAUUUGGAUUUUGUUUCAUAAAUUUGUGGCAUUUAAAACUAUUUCAUGAAAAAAAUGAAUUGGUAAAGAGAAGGGGAAGAAGAGUUUUCAAUUGGUGCAAGCAAUACCAAUAGAGAAAGUCAUACAAUAAUGAUUUUAAUAUCCCAAUAACUUAAAUGAGAAUUUUUUAAUAAUUCAAUGUCUAUUUUGUAACUUUCUGAAAUUGAGUGAUCAAAACAUAAACUUACUAAUAGUUUAGUAACAUUGGGUGUAAUUUACCCAUAAUAAAAUUGCGGAUUUACUUUUUUUUAUGAUCAAUGUAUCUUUUAUGUGUCUGCUUUACAAUCAAUAAAGAUUAGUUCUCUUAGGGUUUGUGAUUGCCAUUUCAAAGAAUGUUGUCUCCAAUGUUCAAAUUUAAAUUCUCUUUUGGAGUGCAAUGUGUCUUAUCACUAUAUACAAUAGUUGUUGGUUUAAGUUUUACUUUCUCUUAUAAUUAGUGUCUACUUGUAUUAGUUAAAGUCAAUGUUGUUUGAAUCAGAUUGGAUCAGCUAGUUGGAUCGGGGAUCAGUACGAAUUAUUUGAAUUAGGUGAUUGAACUAAUUUUUUUUUAAAUUUUAAUAAUUUAUUUAAUUAAACUAGACAAAUCGAUUAAACCAAUUACGUAACCGAUUUUAUUAAAGUAAAUAUAAUUAAUGUAUCACUUUUUCUUAAAUUCGGUAAAAGUAUGGCAUUGUGAGAAACUUUUCUGAAUGGGCUAAUAAAUACAUCUUAUUCCCUGCUUAUAUAGAGCCAUGGAUCCAUUUAAAAAAGGAAAUGGAGAAAUAUGGAAGUGCAAGCAUAGUUGACCUAAUAUUUCCCCAAGGGGGUAAUCACAAGCAGAAGAAAAAUGGGUACUUAGUUUAAUUAUAUGCAACCUACAAAAAAUUAACUUUGUUCAAAAGAGGUAACUCAAGCAAAUACAAUUGAUUUUAAUUAAUGGUAUUGAUUGUAAUUUUCCUAAUCGCAUCUUCACAAGAAAGUAUAAAAACAAAAUUUGCAUAGGCAUUUGGAAAGGAAUCUAUAUCCAUAUAUAGUGAAUAUGUAGCCUUCCCGUCAAAGUUGAAAUUAAACACAAAAUCCAUAGAAAAUUAUGCUGUAUCUAGCAAAAGCCAUUUCAAGUCUCUUUUUUCAACUUGUCUUGUAGUUUUUCUACAUUAUAAUCACCUAUAAUUAAUUAAUAAGUAAACUUGGGGAAAAGAAGUUAAUGUAAGUAUUUCCUAUUCAUUUACACACUAUUAGCAUCUCGUAUUUAUGCUCAAUAUUUACACAGACAUAAUAGAAAUUGAGGGGCAGUGGAAAUAUCUGAUAAAACGAUGAUGAAUUUAAGAAUGGGUCAAAACUUUUGUGUCAGAGGGAGAAAAGGAUGGGGGAGUUGAUAGUCAUUUUAAGUGAAGCAGAUCCAUAUCCAGCUACGAUGCUUGAUAGAUUUCAAAUUUGGCAUCAGUUCCCAAGUGUGUGAGAAAGAAUGGGAAGCAAAGCAAGUGGGGCUGCCACUAACAUGCACAGCCACAGCUAGCUGUUUGGUGUUAGCAUCCAAGACAAUUAUUCUCUCAUCAUCUGCAAACAUAUAUACCACCACAUCUCUGAAAUUAAUCUGUCAGAGAUAAUGAGAAACUCAUUCAUUAUUUCAAUCUUUGUUCAGAUAUCUGAUCACACACAGUUUUUAUCUUCAAAAUUUUCCAAUAGUUAAUAAUAGGUUAAAGGGUUUUUUACCCUAAUAACAUACAAAAAAUAAUCGUUUAUCUAAAUAAGACUUGUUUUUUAUCAUAAUAUGGAUUUGGUUUAAGGAAUUUGAAAUCGUUGGCCCAAAUGGCGAUUUGGGGUGAAAACGAGGCUCUCUGUCAGAAUUUGACUAGUGGAAGAGGAAUCCAACACAUUAGGAACACAAAUAAGGCGCCAACAUGCGUGAUUUGGGAACCCAAUGCCAAGUCAUGUUGGGGCCAAUGGAGCAAAAGAUCUCUGCUACCUUGGGCCCUGAAACCGACUAGCAAGAUGGCGAUUUGGGGCUUUGAGGCUCCAAGACUAUAAAGAUUCUUUGCUCCCUUAAUCCUGACAUGACUGGGCAAGUAAAUCUCAGAUGAUCCCACCUAUUCUCCUCUAUAAAAAAAAUCUGCAAAUUUUUGGGGCCCUUGGUUGGAUAAAAAAGCCCUAGGUGUUAAAAAAGGUUGUAAUGUUCACUACAAUUUAACCCUAAAGAAACAAAAUUAUUUUUCAAAAACUCUAAAUCACUUAUCAAUUUAACCCUAAAGUUUAAAAUAAGCAAUUUAUUUUCUCAUUAUAUUUUUUUAAUUUGAAUUUAUUAAAAAUUUUAAUUAUUUUUGGGGUAUUUGUGAAAUUUUAUGGAAUAAAUUACUUACAAUUAUUUUUUUGUUUUUUCAAGUUCGAAGUUAGAAGUGGAAAACUCUAGAAAAAAAAAGAUAAGCAAACCUAUAACGUAACUAUAGUAAGGUUUCGGGAUGAUGAAUAGAAAUAUAAAAAAGUUUAAAAAUUGUUAUGUAAGUUUUUUUAUUACAAUAGCAUGAUAGAGUGAUUAUAUUAGUGUUAAUACAAUGUACAACAAGGGAAGAGAGUUAAGAGAAGGUAAGGAGGAGUAGGUGGUGAUGUUGUGGAGGUUGGUUCACCUAAAGAGACGGAGAGCUAGAAAUAAACAAGAGGACAGGUUGAUUGUUGAAGGAGAGGAUAUUUGCUCAGAGUAACUUUGAUGGCUUAAAGGUCAAUCCCUUCUUCAUCGUUGAAAGUGUAUUUAUAGAAAAUGUCCUAUUGUCCACCAACAUAGAAAAUGUCCUAUUGUCCACCAACAUGACGUGGCAGGUUGUUAUGAAGAAGGUUGUCAUCAUGCAAUAUGUGGGGGAUGUGCAUCGCGGGGCUUAUUAUAUUAAGUAUGAGGUUGUUACGCCCAAGUGGGUUCUUGUUGCCUCAAAGGUGUGUUUACAUCUAAAAAGCAAGUGCUUGUCUCAUUUCAAAAGAGCAGAAAGUCUGGUUAGAAAUGCCUAUCUUGCAGGUAGUCCAAAACAUGGAAGGUAGAUACUUCUUUAAUCAGGAUGGAAGGUUGAGCAAUGCACAUUCUCAGGUAAAGUCAAAGGGGUGGUUAACGUCAUCUAUCUUUCUAACACAUGUAUAAGUUGGGGAAAGGUAUAACAAUAGCCCCCCAAGUUGAGCAACAGGUUACAAAAUGGCCUUCUGUGAGACAUUACUUUGCCUAAAUUCUUAAGGACGAAAAAAAUGUUUCUCCUUGUUGGGGAAAAUGAAAAGUUGUCGUAAUUUUUUCAGAAGAUGUGCCAUAAAUGCAAUGUUUAAUUCAACUGUACCAGGGAAACAACAAUGAUUAAGGGUGUCUGUGUUGGAAAAAAUCUGGUUUGAAAACGGUUUUCUUCCAUAGCGAGAAAUUAAAAUUUUAAAAACCGACCCGAUUUGUAAUAUUUAUAACAAUAAACCUUAGACCAAAAUCGUACCUGUAUUUUCAGAUAAGCGAAUCCUUGAUGUUUUUUGGCUUUCAACCAAAUGAUCUUCUUCGCUAUUCUCAUACCACGAAUUGCUUCAAGUGUUGGCUUGAACCAAUUGAAUUGAAACACAAAAUUAGAAAAAGUUUUCUCUCAUUUUAGGGUGAAAACAUAAAUUCUCUCUUUUUUAAUAGAAACCAGUAAAAUUUUGAUUCUGGGAAAAUAUAUUUCAAAGUUAAGAAUAAAUUCUCUCUAUAUUUCGACAGGAUAACAAUCUCUCAAAAGUUGUGUAAAUAACUCUACUAGUGCCAUCUAUUUAUAAGAAGAGAAGGUGGAACUUUUUUCGAGUUGUAGUGGUUUAUUUCAAGUAGAAAAACAAUAUCCUACUUAGUGUAGGGGAGGGGUGGACAUUUUUACCUAGUAUUCCUACUAGGGUUUCUGCCCCCUUCGUGUCCAUGAGGGGUUUUUGGGCCUCUUUUACAUCGGGUCCAAUUAUGAGUACUUCCUAGGCCCUUUUUGACUUAGUACUCUAUAAUGUGAUCCAACUCGAUUCAGUUUUUCUAUUUCCAAAAAUAAACUUUCAUAUUUUUAUAUUAAAUGAUUUUCUCAUCCCAAAUUUACCCUAGUAAAAUUUUUGACAAUUUUACCCCAAUAAAAAUUUGACGAUUUUGUCCCUAGUAAAAUUUUGAGGAAAUUAAUUCAAUAUGUCACAACUCAACAUGUUCACUAUGAACGAAUAAUUUAUUUUUAUUUUCGGGCUUCAAAAAAGUCCAAAAGCAUAAACUCAUUCUUCCAUUAUUUUUUAAAUAAUCCUAUAUAAGAUUGCAAGUUUUCAUUUUCAUUUCCAUUUCUGUUUUUUGAAACCUAUAUUCAUUUCCAAAUGAUUCCGUUUCUCCAUUUCGGAGAAAACUAUAAUCAUUCCUGAAUGUUUUCCAUUUCUCUUUUUCUAUUCAUUCCAUUCAUUUCUAUUCAAACACACAAUUCAUUUCUGGUUUCAACGAGUUAGCGGAGGGAUCGAUUGGACAUAUGAAGUUUUGGCUCAAAUGAUUUAUAACUAAGUUUCGACUUUUCGGCUAUUAAUUAUAAACUCAUCACAAAGUCAUUCCACUAUAGUAUCGUGACUUAACUCUCCCCAACAACAUACCAUUAUGAAAACAACUACUUAAUGCUCGUCCAAUGACCUUGUCAUUAGUGUGUUACCCUCAUAGGAUAUCUUUAAUCUAUUUGAGAUAAUAUCUAUUCUCCCAAUAUGACCUAUUUUAUCUUAUGGUAAUCAUUAUAUCUUCCUUCAUGAAAAGUCAAUCACUAUCAAUUAGUGAUCAAGUCAUCCAUCACAAAGACAGACGACCCGUGACCACAUUUACUUUUCAUCAACCAUGUAAUGCUAAUGAGAGCAUAUCAUUUACCCAUAUUUUGGGCUAUGUAUUCCACUAUUGUAAAUGACGUUACAUACUAUAGAAGUUGUACACCCAACGCACCAGAUUUCGGUUCCUUAUAUAUUUAAACUCAGGAUUUUACUUACAUCAAAGUGUACGAGUCAAGCAUACAUAGUCCACCAUCCACUCAUGAUUUACGUAUGUUACACUAUAAACGUCACAAGUGAAUAAAUCCAUAAAAUAGUUUAGGAUCUAUUUUCUUGGGUCUUGCUCGUUGCACUUUAAUUUAAUCAGUCACAUCUAUGUCUCUAUCUUCUAAGAGUCAUCAGCUCUAAAACCAAGACAAGGAAUCUUUCCAAUUGGACUCGAUAGACGACAUAUUAGUCUUUCAAUUAUUUGCUCAUUCACGAUUAGACUAAGGACAUGUUUAGCUUCGUCUAUUAAUACAAGCUGUCUUUCCAUACUACGAUCCGACCACGUAAUAUCGCUUAGUAGUUAAACAUUAGACAACCAAUGAGCAAUAUUUGCUUCAUUUUUCUUUGUGUGCAAAAACCAUGUGAGGAGAAUUAUAAAAAGUAUAUUAAUGUAAUCAAUGAAUUACAAGUGUAUAUUGACGAAAAUACUAUAAUUAAGGCACUAGAUCCAACAGUUUGACAUGGUGUAUGUGGAAGACACUAUUGGUCAUGGUCUUCAAGACUGAAAUGAUGCAUUUGUAAAGUAUUUUUGAGAAAACUUAUAAAUCCAAACUUUGGUUGUCCCUAAAGUCACUUUUACUUCAUCUGAUUUCCAAGGGUUUUCCUGUGUAUUUUUUCAAUUGCUGCAAGCUUCUCUUCAAUUGCUAGAGUUAAGGGUUUUCUUGUGUUUGUUAAUGGAAUUUCUAUAAAUGUUUUUUUUCCAUUUCCAUCAUAAGGAUCAACUAUGGAUAGGGCUCAGAGAUCUAAAUAUAUAAUAGGAAGAAUGGAUAUGAGGGAUCAACCAUUGAGGGGUAGGUCUUCCACCUCAAAAAAUACGCUAGUCACUAUUGCUCCAAGCUUGAAAGGAGAAAACCCAUAAAAUAAGAGGGUAAAGGAUAAAAUAGUUAUUGUGGUGAAUAUUGAUGCGUCAUUGAGAGCACAAAAAAUAUCCUACCCCUAUAAAAUAACGAAAAGAAUAGUAUAAGGGAAGUAGGGUCAAAUCCUCAAGGAUUAGAUUUGCACAAGUUCUUGUUCCUCGAGAUUUCGGACAGAGUCGUGCCCAAGAAAACCUGCGUACCUGGAAAAAAAUUAAAAAAAUAGAAUUAAAAGUUUGAUUGAAUUGGAAUUGCAUAAAUUUAAAUUAAAAUUGUAAAGAUAAACAGAGUUGAGAAAAGAGAGUUUUUUUUAUGGAGAGAUUCCAGCCUCAGCUCAUCGCGAUCCUCAUUGGGUUCAAUCCUAGGAUUUUAGGUGAUCCUUCUCGAAUAGAAUAAGCCAAUUAUAGUGAAAGAGGACGCUUACGACCACCAGCUCUACUUAGAUUUUAGACUUACAAUUUAGAGGAAUCUAACUCUAGCCAACCGUCACUUUUGUGGGACCGUCUUACAUUAGAUCAUCACUUCUCAAUGGCGAAUGCCUCGCCAUUUUGUCACUUAGGCUCGACAACCACUGAGGCAAUAAGAUAAUAAACCAACUGUGCAACCAUCCCAAAACAUACAAAGCGGCUACCUUUGCACGAGAAACAAUGAACGAUGAAUAUUUGUUGAGAAGGCUAAGCGCGGAUUCUAAGCCUCAUGAACCCUUUUUGGGGAAUCUCGACAACUUUUGGCUAGAUGAAUUUAGUGGCUUAUGUUUUUUGGGAAAAAAGAAAUAAACUUAAUAAAAAUGGAAUUUUAUUGAAUAAAUGAAAGAAACAAAGGCUAAACUUUUUGGGAGAGGGAGCUUUACAGAAAAGAUGGGUCAAUUUGUGUCACUUCAUCCCCUAUUUAUAGUACUUAGAAAAUGUAGUCUAUUCCUAUUUAAAUUUUAAAAGAUAAAUAAAGAUAAAAACUAAAAUUAAAUCUAAAUAAUAAUAUUAGCAAUAAUCCUAAUAUAAUUAAAAUUUAAAUAGAGUUUUGUUUUUAAAAAAUCUCUUCUUUGCACUUUUGUCCCCCAAGUCCACCACACAUUGCAUUUUCAACACACCCAUUUUAUAUUUAAAUUCUCACUUUUAGCCCCCAAAUUUUCUUUUGCCUUCAAUUUAGUCCCUACAAGAUAAAAAACCAUAAAUAGCUCAAAUUAGUAGGAUCAUACUCAAAAUGAAUAUGUAAUUAAUACAUAAAAAUAUGUCAUUUUAGACUAUUACUAAAUUCCUCCUACUUAGCCCAUGCUUGUCCUCAAGUAUGGUUCUUAUCCACUGUGAAACUUAAAUUUUACCAUGAAAGAAAUAUUACCCCAAAGUUUUAUAAAAAUUAUGCAUAAUGCAUAUGAAAAAUAAAGAGAACCUUUAGCUUGCUUUAAGUAAAACUGAAUAAAUAUUCCAAUUAAUACACACAAAAAUCAAAAUCGACUUGGAUUACUUCAUGAAAAUUAGGUAAUUUACAAAACUUACCAAGACAUCCUAUUUGUUUCCACCCGUAGCCCCCAAAUGCAAUUCUUUAUUAUUAUUAUAUACUUUUUUUUCCUUUUUUUCUUAAGAAUAUAUUAAACCUUUUGACGUAAAGAGAGAUGACAGCCAAGCACCCUACCCCAGUUACUCAACCCAACACAUUCCUAAAAAAAAUUUUGUUUAAUUCUGGUUAGCGGAGUUUUACCUAAGACGUCACACAAUCUUUUGUUGCAAAGUAGGACGACAACCCAAGCACCCUACCUCGGUUACUCAAUCAGUCACGUUUUAAGCUGCACUCAUAACCACAAAGGCAUCAAAAUUUAUUGUAAUGAAACAAAGUUUUAAUUUGGAGGACUAGGAAAAACAAUCAAGUGUCAAAAAUAAGUUUCAGAAACUCCCUAACAGUCAUGAACAUAAUUUUAGCAUGCAAUUGUAUUAAGUGUUCUCUUUGCAUUUAUACUUAAUCGAUUUUAAUAUAAGCAAGAUAAGGUUAACUCUAUUAAUCAUAAUAAUUUUAGCCUAAUUUGAAAUAAAACAGUAAAGAUGAAAUCAAACUAGCAAAAUCGUAACUAACUUGGUAGAAAAAAAUCAUGCUCGCAGGUCAAACAGUAGGCAAUUCCUGGUUAAAAUCUUGGGCAUGAAAAGAGGCAGAAUAUUCUAAAAAUAAAUGUGGACAAAAACAAACACAAGGCACCAACAACAAUAAUACAAUAGUAAAAAUAGUAGAUAAAAUGACAGAAAUAAUGAGGAAUGUCUCCCUCUAUUUAAAACACAUUGUUCUCGAUGUGAAAGAAAAAUGAAAACAAAUAUGUGAAAGAAAAAUGUUUUAGAAAAACUCCCCAUGUAGUCACUGUCGUUUAUGCAUAGCUACAAGGAGGAGAACGUUCGAUGUUACGUGGAGGAGAUGAAGGAGGGGAAGGUAUUCGUCGGCUAAGUUGACGUGUUGGGGCGAAGAGAAUCGACACCGGUAAUUGUUGACAACGAAGAAGGGUUCGGCGGUGGCACGGGUUCUAGUCCUAACCAUGGUGGUGAGAAAAAUCAGUGGUGGGGGUGAGGGAGAAGGGAAACGGCGGCUGGAGGGUUAUUUGGGUGAAAAAUGGGGAAAAGUUUAGGGUUUGAAGGUGUAGAAGAAAGAGUGUUUGGCUGUAGGGUGGGUGUUUGGAUGUAGGUUUUGGGUAAGUAUAAAGCAGGGAUGCACUAUUUCUACUUGGAAUAAGGAUAGAAUAAGGGAUGUUUGUAAAAGCAUGCCAAUUCCUGAGUUUUUUCUUCGCCAGUUUACCUAGACAGAAGAAGAGAAAUUUAUUAAUAUCCAAACAAAAGAAAGUAAUAAAUAAUAAAAUAAAAUAAUAAAUAAAGAAAAAUAAAAAAUUAGGUUGCCUCCCAACAAGAGCUUGUUUAACGUCAUUAGCUUGACGCCUCAACUAGUAUUGGAGUUGUUCCAGCUGAAUUUUUUCAUUCAUAUAGGCUUGAAAAUUCUCAUUUUUUACUACAUCCUCCAUAUUUAGGCUCAAUCAUCCUUGCGCCUCUUGUUUUGGUUUCAUUUUUUCCUCCAAGAAAAUCUUAUGUGUGCCUGUCAAGGGGUUAAUCCCUUUUAAGUCAGUAAUGGUCUCAUCAUUCUUCAAAAAUAUGCAUUUAAGAUGCUCGAGAAGUGAUUUCAAUUCUACAUCUGAUUCCUGCAUAAAAAAAGAUAGAAGUUUAGUGUCUAUAUGAGCCAAUAAUUCAUUAACAUAUUCAUAAAUAGAUCCUGAAUCGAAAUUAUCAUCAAACAAUGUUUCAAGUUUAUCUUCAUAAGGUGACUCAAGACUGUUUACGCUCAAGAUUUCACUAUUUACGCUCAAGAUUUCACUUAUGUUGUCACUAUUUACGCUCAAGAUUUCACUAUUUAUCUUCAUAAGGAUAGAAUAGGUGACUCAAACAAUGUUGUCACUAUUUACGCUCAAGAUUUCACUCGGGUGACUAAUAGCGUCAUAAAUGUUAAACUUCACGAUCUCCCUGUUAAACUCCAUUAUGAGGGUUUUGCUAUGCACGUUAAUCCUAGUAUUUGCAGUACUAAGGAAAGGUCAUCCCAACAAAAUGUCUGAAGACCUAGGACCGUUAUCCUCUUCCAUUUUUAUCAUAUAAAAGUCUGUAGGAAAGAUAAGUCCGUUGACUUUCACUAAUACAUCCUUAAGGGCUUCUUCAGGAUGCACAAUAGACCUAUCUACUAAUUGAAUGAUAACAUGUGUUUUCAUAAAAAAAACCCACGUUAAGUGAUAUAAAAAAAUGUAUUAUAUUUAUGGAGGCUCCUAAAUCACACAUGGCUCUUUUUAUUCCUAAGUGGCCUAUUUUGCAUGGUAUUGCAAACAUGCCCCUAUCUUUGCAUUUUGCUGGCAUCUUCAACUGCAACAUCGUAGAUACAUUUUCACUAACACUUACUCUUUCAUUUCCAGUCAAUUUUUGCUUGUUGGUGCAAAGUUCCCUAAGGAACUUGGCAUAUCGUGAAAUUUGUUUGAUUGCAUCCAACAAUGGUAUAUUAAUCUCGACAUUUUUGAAUGUUUCAAGGAUUUCUUUUUCCUCCUUACUUCUUCGAUAUUGGUUCAAUCAUCUUGGAAACGGAGGUUGAAUUAUGGGAAAUGGAGGUUCGUUUGGACCUGUUCAUCGUUCUCCUACUUUUUCUGGGAAGAAUCUUGAUCAAGAUUUCUGCCAGGAUUUGGUUCCAGUAUUUUUCCACUUUGCAUCGUCACUGCAUUUGCAUGUUGUCUUGGGGUUAGGUUCCAUUUAUGACGAUAGCUUUCCUUGUGAGUUCAUUUUCUUAAUUGAUGUGGUCAACUCUCUUAUAGACGCCUCAGUUUUCUGUUGAAAAUCCUUUGUUUCAUUUUGGAAAUCAAGAGUUUGCCGUUAUAUUUGCUAUUGGAAAUCUACAGUUUGCUGUUGUAUCUGCUAUUGCAAAUCAAGCGUAUUAGCUGUUAAUUUAUUGACCAUGGUUUCUAGAGAGGCAUCUGAAUCUUAUGUUUAUUGUGGAAACCAAUUUUGGUAUGACUAGUUAUACUGCAUGUUUGCCCCAUAACUUAAGUUAGGAUGGUCUUUCCAUCCUAGGUUAUACGUAUUUGCAUAGAGGUCAUAUCGCCUUUGGGACGGUCCAAGAAAGUUCCUCAUAGCAUCUAAAUGGGUCAUAGUAUCGUCAUACAAACUAGGCAUGCAUCAAUUGUAUAUUUGGGUAUUGCACAAAUUCUGCACAAUCAGGCUGGUCCUGUUUUUACUGCAAAAAGAGAAUUCAUGAUAUUAGUAAGUCUAUCAACUUUAUCUUCUAAAGUUGAAUUACUUAGCUAGUGAACCUUUCUAGCGGGUUCAAGAUUGGUUCAGAAUUGUCGAGUAUUUGCAGCCAUUGUAGAGAUCAAGUCCUUUGCUUGUUGGGGAGUUAUGUUGACCAACGUUUCUCCACUUGCGGCAUCUACCAUAUUCAUUUCUAUGGGCUUUAAGCUCUCAUAGAAGUAUUGGAGCAGAGACUGUUCUGUGAUCCCAUGUUGUAGGCAACUUGCGCAUAAUAUCUUGAAUCACUCCCAAUCGUCGUAAAGAGAUUCUAUUUCUUUUUGCCUUAUCCCAAUGAUCUUUGUUCUUAACUCGACUGCACGCGAUGCUGGAAAAAACCUAUUGAAAAAUAAUCGGGAAAGAUUAGUCAAAGUUGUAAUAGAUCCAUGAGGUAGAUAAAACAACCAUUCCCUAGCAAAAUCUGUUAGGGAGAAAGGGAAAGCACGCACUUUGAUUUGAUCCUCAGUUAUGCCCUGAGGUUUCAUACUAAGACAAAUCAUAUGAAACUCCUUUAGAUGUUUGUGGGGAUUUUCGUUUUGCAACCUACGAAAAGUCGGUAGUAAUUGAAUUAAUCCUGACUUCAGUUCAAAAUCAAUAUCCAUAGUAGGAUAUGCAGUGCAUAACGACGGUUGUUCUGCAGGAGCUUUGGCUAUUUGUCGGAUUGUUUGAGCCAUAGGUUAAUGUGCUACAUUCUGGUUUUCGUUAACCCUCGCAUUAAGCACUUUUUCUAGUCGAUCGAUUCUUAUUCUUUCAUUCUCCAAUGUUUGAGUAGGGUUUUCGCUAACCCUAGACUCAACUUUGUCAUCUGCUUCUAUUUCCGGCGGUGGGUUACUCUGAGUCCCUACCACCUCUGACUGCUUUUUACAUAGCUUUGUUUUCUGGCAAUUAGCUUUCGCAGUCUUUUCUAUUUCUAAAUCAAACGUAAGAAUACCUGGAGUAGAUCUGGUCAUAAAAAACAAGAUAAACAAGAUUAGUACAUUACCAGUCCCCAACUAUGACGCCAAAAUUUGAUGCGUCGUUGAGAGCACCAAAAAUAUCCUAUUUCUAUAAAAUAACGAAAAGAAUAGUAUAAGGGAAGUAGAGUCAAAUCCUCAGGGACUGAAUUUGCACAAAUUCCUAUUCCUCGAGAUCCUAGACAGAGUCGUGCCCAAGAAAACCUAUGUACUUGGAAAAAAAAACAGAAUUAAAAGUUUAAUUGAAUUGAAAUUGCGUAAAUUGAAAUUAAAAUUGUAAAGAUAAACAGAGUUGAGAAAAGAGAAUUUUUUUUAUGGAAAGAUUCCAGCCUCCAGUCAUCUCGAUCCUCCUUGGGUUCAAUCCUAGGCUUUUAGGUGAUCCUUCUCAAACAAAAUAAGCCAGUUAUAGUGGAAGAGGACUCCUACUCCACCAGCUCCAUUUAAAUUUUAGACUUACAAUUUAGAGGCACCUAACUCUAGCCAACCGUCACUUUUGUGGGUCCGUCUUACACUAGAUCAUCACUUCGCAAUGGCGAAUGCCACGCCAUUUUGUCUCUUGGGCUCGACAACCACUGAUGCAGUAAGUUAACGAACCGACUGUGCAGCCAUCCCAAAACAUACAAAGCGGCCGCUUUUGCACAAGAUGAAAAGAUCAUUUUUGAAGGGACAUGGAUGGAAGCAUCAGUCUCAUAGUGUGGAGAAACAAUGAAUAUUCGUUGAGAAGGCUAAGCGCGGAUUCCAAGCCUCAUGAACCCUUUUGGGGGAAUCUCGACAACCUUUGGCUAGAUGAAUUUAGUGGCUCAUGCUUUUUGGGAAAAAAGAAAUAAACUUAAUAAAAAAUGAAUUUUAUUGAAUAAAUGAAAGAAACAAAGGCUAAGUUUUUUGAGAGAGGGAGCUUUAUAGAAAAGAUGAGUCAAUUUGUGUCACUCCAUCCCCCAUUUAUAGUACUUCGAAAACGUAGUCUAUUCCUAUUUAAAUUCUAAAAGAUAAAAAAAAUAAAAGCUAAAAUUAAAUCUAAAUAAUAAUCUUAGCAAUAAUCCUAAUAUAAUUAAAAUUUAAAUACAGUCUUGUGUUUAUAAAAUCUUUUCUUUGCACUUUUGCCCCCAAGUCUACCACAUGUUGCAUUUUCGGCACUACUUCUUUCCUAUUUCGCAUGCUAGCCCAUUUUAUCUUUAAAUUCACGCUUUUUACCUCAAAUUUUCUUUUGCCUUCAAUUUAUUCCCUACAAGAUAAAAAAACUAUAAAUAGCUCAAAUUAGUAUGAUCAUACUCAAAAUGAAUAUGUAAUUAAUAUAUAAAAAUAUGUCAUUUUAGAGUAUUAUCAAAUAUAAAUGUACUACUAUUUAGCAACAAACACAGAGGGAAUUGAGGUGUUUGAGGCUCUUUCAAAGUUAUCCUAAAUAUGAUUUUAGUGCUCCAAGAAGGACGCACCAUUUAAGUGUUGUGUUUGGGCUAAAUUAUGGUAGAGGUAGGCCUAGGUUCUAUUUGCCUUUAUACGCAUUGGAAGCAAGCUUUCACUUUCCCUCACAAGCCUUCAUCUAAGAUUUUCUAAAUGUUUAUAAUGUGGCACUUGGGUAGCUAAUUGCCAGUUCUUGGCGACUAAUUAUAAGAUUUAUCAUAUUAUGUGGUCAACAAAAAAUAUAGUCUGAUGGCUUGAUGACUAAUCAUAAGAUUUUUAUAUGGUCUAAUCUUAAAAAUAUCAUGUAGUAAAUGUGUGGUUAUAGUUGCUCCGGCAAUGGUUGUAGCAUAUCGUAACUCGAAUUCAACGACCGAGUUGCGUAAGGGGUGUUAGAAAUUAUAUCUAAACAUUUAUAUAUAUAUGGAAUCAAACACAACAUAAAAUAAAAUAGUAAGUUCUAUAUGAACUUACUUAUUCAAAAUUUGAAAAAAGAGGAUACUUCAGUGACUAAUCCGCAAUUUUAGCUUUUCCUCAAUUAACUUCACUUCGAUCCAAUUCUUGGCCUAUACAAACAUUUUAUAUCACCAAUUAAUACCAAAUAUUUCUACACUAUGCUAUGAUAUGUAUGAUCUUGUAGAAAUUUACUUUUUGAUUUUCCCCAAAUUUUACAUUUCAUUCAAGUUAGUCACUGAACUCUGGAUAAACAUAACUUUCAAUCCUACCUUCGGUUUAGCAUCUGAUUCGAUACUUUGUCAUUAGGGACCCUAUAUUUCCUAUUUCUAACAAAAUUUCAUGAUUAAUUUUACAUUUAUUUAAUUUGAUCCCUAAUAUAACAAAGUUGACAAACAAACUAAAUUAACUUUACAAACUAGUCAUUUUUCAUAAUAUAAGCUUAAAAUCUAUCUAUUUCAAAUCUAAUUCUUUAAGAAAUUAAUAGUGGAAACUUUCUAAAACUUUAACAUGUUUGCAAAUUGAUACAUGGGCUAGCUAAAUCAAGCUCUCAUGACCUCAAAUCCACAAAAAUUACAAGGAAAGAACUUGAAUUUGCUUACCAAUUAAUGAUCGGUUGUUUUAGAAAUUCUUAGGUUUUCUUCCCCCUUUUUGGACGACAAUGGAGAAUAGAUGAAGAAGAUGACUUUGUCAUCCACUAAUUUAACUUAUAUAAUAGGAUUAAUAUUUUAUUAAUUUGGUUUAAUUAACUUAAACAUAACUUAAUUUACUUAAGUUAAUCACUAAACUUAAUUAGUGGAAAAUGUCAUCAUCAUCCACUAAUUCUUAUUGGAAAAUGAUUUAUUUACCAUUUUAGACCUUUGGCUAAUUAUUGUUUUAAUCUCUAAGUCUUUUGUCAAUUAGAAAUCUAUAGUGAUUGAACUUUACGAUUUAGUCUCUGAGCUUUAAUUAGCUAUUAAUCAUAAAAAAAUACCAAACCAAUAUUCGAUAUAUAUUGAUAUUAUCCUUGUAAAUGUUCAUAUUUUGUAUUUAUGGACUCGAUUUAUGAAAAUGGGGUUCUGAAACUAUAUUUUCAGUACCACUGAAAAUCGAGUCGUUUCAUGAACUAUGCUCAUUAUAAUUUUGUUUAUAAUGUGAAGUCCCCUUAUAAGCCAUCAAGGUAAGUUGAGUAUUUUCCUUGAUUACUUACUAAGCAUUGAUGCUUAACGAGCUGUUAUUUCUUACGCAUAGAGUAAUUGUAAAUUACGUGCCAUAUCUGCUUCGAAAGAUUCCAUCACCUUCACAAGUUGAAGAGAAUGUACUAGAGUUUUAGAGUUCAUUUCUUAUCUCUUAUACUUAUUUUGUAAGUUUAAACUUUGCUAUAUUAAGCCAUGAGUAUGUGGAAUUGAUGUUGGAAUAUUAAAUAUGUGGAAUUGAUGUUGGAAUAUUAAAUUUGUUCUGAAUGAGUCCACUAAGUCUUGAUAUGUUUUUUUAAUAUUAUUUUAAUGAAUUUAUGUAUGUGAUAAAUGGAUGUACAUGUUUUAAGGUUGAUUUUCACAAAUGUUAGAUUUGUUUAUAAGAUCGAUUUGUGUUACCAUGUUUGGAGGCAUAUCGAAGGUUUUUAGGGUGUUUUAAACUCGGUUUCUGAGUCUGUUGGUUCAAAGUUUUGAUACCAAACUCAACAGUAUCGAUACAAGUGAGUCAAAGGUUAAAAAUUGCUACAGUUCUAAGGACUUGUAUUGGCAAAACUGGAGAUUUAUGCUGCAACCACAAUGCGUGGCCCAAGUCACUGUAUUAUGUCAAGUUGUUUUGACAUUUAGGAAGCUCGUUUUGGGUCCUGAUGACAUUCGAACCACUUCAAAAUAAUUUUUAAUUAUUUCUAAAGCUUCCAACUUGUUCUAAACAUGUAUUAGUGAUUUUAUAAAAAAAUGUUUUAAAGUUUAAAUUCUUAAAUUAUUCCAAGGUUUUUGUUUGUUCAUACUCCGGUAGCAUUUUUCAUACCAAUCAUAGGAAUGAGCGAGGGGUGUUACGGAAUUACAUUUUUUUUCCUUUCAAUCUUUGGAUCAGGCUUGGACAAGAAUUUUUGCACCUAGACUGACCAACUCAAAUUCAAUUUAUAUAAUAAAAAUAUUUUUAUUAUUUAAAUUUAAUUAUAAAAUAUAUAAAUAUUAAUUAAAUAUUUUUUAAUAUUUUAAUAAUUUCUUAAUAGUAAAAUGAACUUUUUGAACGAAUCGAAUUGACCUAAAAACAAACUUGGACUUAAAUUUUUUUAAAAUCCAACCUUAACCAAUAACUUUAGUGGUAAAUAGUGGAAUGAUGGGCUAUUACCUAUAAUAAGAGAGCAAGUAUCAUUUUUUCUUUUUGAAAAUUUAAAAAUUUAAUGUCGAAGGAUUGUCACCUUGUCAACAAAAGAAGACUUGCUCUUAAGUACACAAUGAUACUCCUCACAAAGUUCUCCUAUGAAUGUGUAUUAAAUUUUUAAUAUCUUGAAUUUUUAUAUAUAUCUGGAAACUUUUAUAUUUUUUGAAUUUUUAAUAUUUUUUAAGUUUAUUAUAUUUUGAAAUUUUAAAUAGUUUUUAAAAUUUUAGAAUUAAGACAAAAUUGAUGCAAUAUGUAAACUUUGAAGGUUAAUUUUUUAGAAUUAAAACUAAAAUGACUGUAAACAGGCCAAUUUGCCCGGGCCGGAAGAAGAACUCAAAAUACAAAAUAAUAAACAAAAAAUGUUAACAGUCCAUUAAAUGUCCAAAAUGAAUGUCCAUUUACUACAUAAACCAAGACCCAAACAAGCCCAAUACCUAAACCUAGACUUAAAUUACAUGCCCGAUAGGCCCAAUAAUUUGAGAACAGGAACCCUAGGGUUUCUUCCCCACUUUUGCGCUGCAACCAGACAGCAGCCCAGCCUCCAUGCGCCUUCAACACCGUACGACUAGCACACAGUCCUCGUACGCCACGCCCUUCGCCUCCGUACGAUGCCAGCGAACUCCGUACCUGCAAGCAAAUACGAAAACAUCAGCACAGCAAAGAAAAAAAACAAGAAACUUGUAUUUUCUUUUUCGUUUUUCUCUGUUUUCGGCUAUAAAAGCCAUGUAAUAGUCUAGGUCUUUUUUUACGCAAUACGAACACACGCACAUUUACGCAUACAGAAUACAAAAAAGCAACCAAUAUUUAAAGGUGAUUUUUCGAUUUAAAUCUCCGGGCGUUCUUUUUUCGGCUUUAUCCUUUGUUUUUGUUGUUUUUUUUUUACUCGAAGGCAUGAAUAAAAAGAGAGGGAGGGGCUUACCUUGAAAGUACACCGUGGAUCUCCUCUUGCUUAGUUGAAAUCGAAGCCAAGAGGAGAUUGAAAGGCUGAAAAAUGUCCUCUCCAGUCUAAAUGUGUUGGCUGCUGUUAGGGGAAGGAGAAUCGGCAGUUUCAGAGGGGAUUUUGGAUUUGGAAAAGAAGAAAAAAGGGAUAGUGGUUCAGCCGAAUGGGGUGUUCGGUUAGGGGUUUUAAGGGACUAAAAAACGGCACCGUUUAGAUCAAUCAUAAUGGUCUCAAACGACACCGUCUAGGCCAGCCCGUUUCUACCCGACCCGAUCCGGUUCUUCAACCCUCAGGACCCGCGUGUCUUUGCGGUGAAGGGUUAUUUUCGAUAUCAAUCCCUCCCCUUUCGCGCCGCAUUCUAAUCAGCUCAUAUUUGUAUUUCAU